This is a non-coding RNA of Podarcis lilfordi (Lilford's wall lizard), 76654 nucleotides long. The record is from the annotation of a GenBank genome assembly. Lineage: Eukaryota; Metazoa; Chordata; Lepidosauria; Squamata; Lacertidae.
GAUCUCUGGGCUCAGGAAUAAGGGAAGGGAGAGCCAGAGUGAAAGAAUGCAGCUUAUCAGCCCAGACAGUGACCCAGACCCAGAAAUAUUGGCAGUGCCCUCUCCAAAAUCUUGUAAGAUCAUGAGACUUUACGAGAAGCGUGAAAAGGAAAGGAAGAGAAGGUAGGGGUUUUCCUGUUGGGGGAAAAAGGGGGCAGGGCUUAGUUCCAGCAACUGUGCUAUCUGAGGAUGAUGGCGAUUAGCUGAGUUCCGACCUGGUUUGUUUGUUUGAACAAUAAAUCUGAAAUAAUUGACUGCCGGAGUGGUCUCGCAUUUGUGGGAGAGACCCAGGCCAUUACAGUUGGGCAGUGAAUGACCCCUGUCUGAAACCAUAGAAAACUACUAUCAGUGCAAACAAUGAUAAGCUUAAUGGACCAAUCGCCUGACUCAGUAUUAGGCAGCUUCUUAUGUCUCAGAUCUGGGACUUUCACAUAAUCUGCUACCUGAUCCCAGAACUUGUUGCAUGUGAAGCAUGUGCUCAGCAGCCCUGAUAUGAUAGAGGCAUAGUGCAGAGAAAGCACAAGAGUAAAGAAAGAGCCAAUAGAAAAUGCAGGGGACUGAAACAUUUGGCAUUGCAAAUGUGGAUUUGGUCUUCAGAACAUGCCUAGAUGGAAGUUUUGAAGAGAGGCUAAGUGUACACAUCUCUCUCCUGCAACCUGUGUAGGCUGGCAUCACCAGUCCAUGUGAGAGGUUUCUCUCCCACCUCUAUCUGCAGCACAGAUUGAAGGGGUAGAGGAUCCUCACUGGCAAUCUGCAUUGAGUAGAGCAGCUACGUAACGGCUCAAAAGGAAGUAUGUCACAGUUUGCAGAGGCAAGUUUUGGUGCUUCACAGACAGAGUUUGGAAUAGAAGACUGAAAUAGAAAGCUGUCAUACAGCAUUUAAUAUUUUAACAUGGAAAGGCUGGAAUAUGCCUGAUAAAAUAGCAACAACAACAAAAACAUGGUAGUAUGCUGUUCAAGGGGUGGGGAAGCAUAUCUAAAGUUGGGCAUAUCUAAAGUUGCACAUUGGAUCUCAGCCAUUUUCUUUAUUAAAUUGUUGUUAUGGAAUAUUAAAGUUCACUGAGAAAUUUCUGCACUCAGCUUAUACCUGACCUUUCCCUUUGUCCUAAGCUAUGUGUUAAUUAUUGGAUUGUCCUUUACUUAAUAAAGGACUUCAUCCUAUCUACUCAAAACAUAUCCAGAAUCCUCUUUUAGGGUCUAGGAACCUAGAUAAGAAGACUGCUAACUGCAAGGCAAUAUAGGAUAUUAAAUUUCAUUGGUGCAUUCAUCCCUCUGCCCUUAAUAUAUAUUUUUUGCUUUAGGAUAUUAGAUAUUGUUGGUCAUUGAGAUAUAGCUGUACUUUUUAUUAUUGACUCCAGUUUUAUUUAAAUCCUAAUCUCUUAAAUCCCAGCCUCAUGGGUGCACGACAUGAAGCUCCACCUUAGCCUUCGACAACCUGGUGCCUUCAAGAUGGGACUGAUGUGAUUUGCAGUCCAGAACAUCUGCAUGGCACUGAGCUGGCUAAUGAAGGCUGUUCUGCUUUGUGCACCUGACUCACCAAAGUCAGAAGGGCAUAAUAUGGCGUUUUUGAAUUUACGUGGGGAUACCCACAUGAAAUACAAAGGUCCAUAAACUAAAACAAAUUUGGGGGGAAAUCCUAUGUGAAUUAAAUAAUCUGAUGAUUAGAGCUUACUCACUGAUAUUUUGCAGGUUUGUUAUUGUUGCUGUGUUAACUAUGCCACAAGUAGACAAUGAAAUUAUGAAGUGUCAUAGACUCUACAACCUUUCUCUGGAAAAGGACACCCUGUGUCUAAAUUCAAGCAGCUUUCUCUUAUUGUCAUUUCUGAUCAGCUUCUUGAGAGCCUCUGUAUUCUGCAAGAAUCAACAGUAAAAUGUUAAGUGUUCAGUCAUUAAAAAAUCAUUUGAUAUUCAUUGAAACACUAUUAAUCAUCACACAUUCAUUUGGCAUUCAUGGGGCUGUCACACGGACUUCUCUAGGAGUUCAGUUAUAAUAUGCAUUAGCUAAUGAGCAUAUAAAGCAUUCCUGAAUCAACAUAGCAGCACAACAUUUUUCUUAUUUGCAUUAUUCAUGUUCGGUAGAUUUUAGGGUUGCAAUAGCUGAGGCAUACUUUUGGCUUUUCUGGGGGGGAAAUUGAGGCAGCUGCUAUCAAUAUAUUUACUUAUGAGAGCCCAACGAUUUGUGUGUUAGCUAACAGCUGCCCUGCAUGCCUGGAACUUUGCCAUUUCAAUGUGUUUCUGUUGUCAGAAUUGAAGCAGAAUGUACAAUGCAGUAUAGGUCUUUAGAUCCAUGAGUGCCUCUUUGUGGGCAGUCUGCUGUACAUCAUCAAGCUACUGAUGCGAUUUGCUUCUAAGUAAGAGGCACUUGCUUUCACAGUGUUAAAGAAAUCUUUCAAUAUUUAUGAAUGUAGCAAUCUGGUUUAAUUGUGAAGAAGAAUGCUUGUGUUUGCCCCCAGUUAUAAGAAGCCUGAUGUCCUUCGUUAUGAAAAGCACAUUCUGGAUUCAGGCACAUGACCCUUCCUGCUUGGAUGUAUCAACCGAAUGUUUAGUGGUGACCUUUAGAAGCUGCCAUUAAUCCUUCAUCUAUGAAUUGGGGAGGGGGGAUAAAGGCUAUUGUGCUUUUGCUAACAUUUUCUGUAACAUUUUAUUUUCUCCUCUUUGUCUCAUAGUGUGGCCGUGUUCCAGGAAAGUGUGCAAGUAUGGGUGUUUCCAGACUGUCAAUAUUUGGGGGUGGAAUUCAGACGUAUACCAGCAAAGUCAGGUUCCAUAAUUAAAAGUUGAUUUAGAGCUCCUGCACAACAGAACUACUUCCCUGCACCCCCUCCCCACAACCCUGUCCAGGCAAAAAUAAUUCCACACUUCUUGCAGUAAGGAAAGUGAUAAGUAAACCCCCUGGAGAGUAUAGGAUAAUAUUUUCUUAACACAACAUCUCUGAACCUCCCUGCCAAAAAAAAUUAAAAAUUAAAAAAUUAAAAUAUAUAUCAGAAUGAACACCCAAUAAAUAGCACAUUUUGUCUAAAUCCCAACUUUUUGCAACCAAAUCAGGAAGAAUGCUCAGUUAAAUAAGCCAUCCAGAACCAGCCUAAUUCUACCUAGCUAGUAGGGCUCAGUAUUUGGUUCUCAUAAUGCCUAAUGAACAGAAAGCAUUGCCAUUUUCUCCGGGUUGUAAAACCUUUGCAGCCCAUGCAUCAAUCAAAAGAAGCCAGGACAAUCUGGUUCAAAAAAUUUUAAUCACUACUUGUGCUUUGAGCCCCAAAACCCAUCCCAAAUGGAAAUAAAGACACAGUGAAGACAGAAUUUAGUUUAAAUGUUAAUGGGCAAAUCUUUGGCCACAACUUUAUUAAAAUACACAAAUGUGACUGGUAUUGGCUUAGGCAUUGGUAUCAAACUAUAUCUGGCUCCUGCCCCACCCUGCAGGAAGCCUGGAAGGGUAAACAACCAGCAGGGGGAUCUCCAUCAGUGUAUAUUGACUGGUGCUCACCCCGGGGUUUUCCGGGGGUCCUGGCAUGGCCCUAGCCCCUCUCCGGGCUUUGGACGAGAGCCAGACCCCCAGAUUCUUUUAACGGAAUACCCUAUUCAUUGGAAGGGCAGGUGAUGGCCGCACCUCCCCUCCCCACAUUCCCCUAAACCAAUGCCUAACUGCCAAAACUUACAAAGUUGUGACGAUUGCUAAGAGGUAGGCAAAAACCAAGUGGCCACAGCCAAUCUGCCACAUUGGAAAAAAUUCCUACCUGGCCCCCAUUCCAAAAACAGGUGACCAGCCGAAGUCCAAAGCAAGGCCAAACAUGACCUGAUUAGCGGGUGGGUUGGCAGGUGUUUGGCAGCGCGAAGCAAAAGGAGGUCCCUAUGUCGUGCUGCCAAAUAAAUACCCCCAACCUUGCCACGCUGCUGAUUGGCAUAACUGUGGCACCACCGGCUUGGAGUGGGGCAAGCCCCACCCACAAGCCGGUUAAGGAAGAGUUCCAGGGCCGAGCACAACAUGGACCCUCUGUUAGGAGGAUCCAACUUACAGAAUGAGCUGGUGCCCAUUACCUUUCAGCUCUGCCUAUCUUAGAACCUGCAAAAUAAAUAAAAAAUCCUUCCACUAGCUUCUUGAGGUAAGAAGUGUGCAUACAAACAAAAGCUCAUACCAAUAACAAACUUAGCGGGCGGCGCUGUGGGUAAAACCUCAGCGCCUAGGACUUGCCGAUCGCAUGGUCGGCGGUUCGAAUCCCCGCGGCGGGGUGCGCUCCCGUCGUUCGGUCCCAGCGCCUGCCAACCUAGCAGUACGAAAGCACCCCCAGGUGCAAGUAGAUAAAUAGGGACCGCUUACCAGCGGGAAGGUAAACGGCGUUUCCAAGUGCUGCGCUGGCUCGCCAGAUGCAGCUUGUCACGCUGGCCACGUGACCCGGAAGUGUCUGCGGACAGCGCUGGCUCCCGGCCUCUAGAGUGAGAUGAGCGCACAACCCUGGAGUCUGUCAAGACUGGCCCGUACGGGCAGGGGUACCUUUACCUUUACCUUUUAAGGUGCUACUGGAAGGAAUUUUUUAAUUUUGUUUUGACUAUGGCAGACCAACAUGGCUACCUGCCUGUAACUAGAACUAUGGAAGGCACCACAUUGAGCCGCAUGAAAUGGAAGUCCAUUGACCGUAUCUGAAGAAGUGUGCAUGCACACUAAAGCUUAUACCAAUGACAAACUUAGUUGUUCUCUAAGGUGCUACUGGAAGGAAUUUUUUUUAUUUUAUUAGAACCUGCAGACACGAUGAAUCUUAUUUUAGCAGAGACAGCAUUAUGUUUGACUGUCAGGAACCUGGCUUGAAUUGUUAAUGGGAAACCUACUUAACCUAUACAAAAUAUUCUUCUGCCUACUCAAAAUAGUCAUGAUGUAUUUGACAUCAAGAAAACCAUACUCACCAACUUGGAACACCCCACAAAAACUCUCUGCCCACUCUAAGAUUGUUGCUAGUGCCCGGACUACAUUAAAUCAAUCUUUCUUUCUUUCUUUUUUAAAGCUUUUGAAAUAACAAUCUGACAGAAUAUUGUAUGGAGGUUAUUAAAGAUAAAACCUCAGAAAGAUGACUUUGGAAAUAUUUAUUAUUACUUUGAAAAUACACAUUCAUAGAGGCAAAGGGUAAAAAUAUAAUUAAAGUGUGGAGGCUUAUCUGUGUGACCUGAGCAUGCUUAUUUUCUUGUCUCGUUUUAAGCAUCACAAAGAUGCCAGGAACUGAUCCUCUGCUCUUUCUUGUUCACAGGCAGCAUUUUGUGUUGUUAACAACUCUAUUUGGAAAUGGCUCUUGAUCUCUAAACAAAACGUUAGCAUAGGAAAAUAAGAGAAAUAAAUAAUAAUUACAGCAACAACAACAACAACUGCCAUAUGGCUACAUGAUUAUUUCCAUUUUUUGGCAUGCAGAAUAAUAAAAAAAAGACAUUUCUAAAUCUUUAUUCGCCUGGAGAGAUUCAGACCAGGUAAACCUUCUAAACAUCUGGAUAUUUGUCUAAAUUGGGGGUGGGGAACCUGUGGCUCUCCUAGUCUUCUUGAGCUAUAUGUCCCAUCAUCCCUCGUGACUGACAAUGCUGGAUGGGGGUGAUGGGAACUGGAGGCCAACAACAUCUCAGGAGUCAGAUUCCCUACUCCUGAUUGAAAUGGUUCCAGCCCUCAGACAUGUUAGUGAGUACUCCUUUUCACAGCUUUGGGGACUGUGUGAAGGGAGGGAACUGAGAUAGUACCUGUUAUCAUGACUCCUGAAAGCAACAUUUCAGAAGUUUUAUGGAACAUCUGAAUAGACCCUAUGUGCAUGUCGCCUGUGCAGAAAACCUAUACACAUUCCAUUUUAUGCAUAUAGCUCUAGUCAGAACAUCAGAUGUGCAAUCUCAAUUUACACCCCACCUCCGUGCAUUUGUUGGAAGUGCAAAAAGUGCUGCUGCAGUUUUAUUUAUUAUUUGGAAGAUUUCUAUGCCACCCUUCGGUUAAAAACUCCCAGGGAAAGCGUACCAAAAAAGAAUAAAAACAGCAACUAUAUAAAUACUCCAAGAAUAAAACAGCAGAAGCAGCAAUUAAAACAGAGGCAUAAAAAAUUCAGCAGAACAAACAGAGUCAUAAUCUGAGCAAAUUUAGAUUAUAUAAUGAGAUGUCCAGUGAGAUUUUUAAAAAGUUGGCCUCAAAAUAGCACCAGAGCUCAUGCUACAUGAAACUCUUUGAAGAAGGUAUUCCAAUAAUAUUCUCUUCAGGGCACAGUAUCCAGAAUGUCCCUCUUCCCAGUUACCUAUCACCAUCAUUUUGUAGUCAGACAAAACAGAGGUCAGUGAAGAGUUUAGGCAAGCUCAUAGGGUUAGGGGUUUCUCUUUUUGUGUGUGUGUGUGUUAUAAAGCUUAGGUUUCCAAUUGAACACAGUUCUAAGAAAAAUCAAUACAGGCACUUUGACAGACACAGGGGAGCCAUUGCAGCAACAUAUUUUCAAGGUAUUGAUAUGAGAAGGUAGCACAGUGUAGGUAGUUUAGGCCUGCACAAAUGUGUGACCCACCAGCCAUGGAGGACAGAUGUGUCAGAUCAUCACUGUAUGGUUAUGUAACCCAAGGUGGGAAAAGCAAAUAAGAGGUGACAUGAUAGGGUUGUCAUAUGUCCGGAAUUUCCUCGACAUACCAGGAAUAUUGCACUCAAAAACAGUGUCCGGGCAGAAAUUGGUAAAAUGUCCAGGAAAAUCUAGAUGUAUGUCAGCAGUGGGGUUUUUGCUGAUUUUCUUUAAAAACAGCUAAAAAACAAUUUUGCCGAUUUUGCCAAAAAAAAAGUUCAACUUUGGGCAAAACUAGAAAAAGCUCAGCAAUUUUUCACUUUUUGAAAUAUGGAAACUGUCAUGAAAGAAGUGUAUAAAACAUGGCAAAGAGAAAGUAGAAACUUUGUCCCCCUCUCAUAACACUGUCAGGUUUCAGUGAAUUCUGAUCCUCUCCCCUUUCAUGGCAGACAGCCAAGGAAGCUCUUACCGAGUCUAUAUUCAAUCUUCACAGUGCCUCUGUACGCUGCCUCUUAGGUUAAUGGUGUUGGUCCAACAGAAGAAGAGGAGGAGGAGGAGGAGGAGGAGGAGGAGGAGUUUGGACUUGAUAUCCUGCCUUUCACUCCCCUUAAGGAGUCUCAAUCUCCUUUCCCUUCAUCCCCCACAACAAACACACUGUGAGGUGAGUGAAGCUGUAAGACUUCAGAGAAGUAUGACUAGCCCAAGGUCACCCAGCAGCUGCAUGUGGAGGAGUGGGGAAGUGAACCUGGUUCACCAGAUUACGAGUCCACCGCUCUUAACCACUACACCAUGCUGGCUCUUCCCCCCUCCCUUCCUAGCAACAGCACUUCCCCUUCAGGUGGCUGCCAGGAGCUAAUUGUCUCUAAGUCCUUUGCUUUUCCACUUUCAAUGCAUGCCGGGUUCUGGGAGAAGGGGGGUCAGAAAUGCUCUCCAGUGAUAAUGUGUCAGCUGGCUCCUCUGUCUCCCCCUUCUCUUCUCCCAACACCUCCCAACUCUUCUGUUCACCUGUAUCUGAGCUGUGACCUUCCUCAAACCACUGCUGUGAUUCAAUACUGCCUUCCUCUUUUCUGGAAGGUUCAGGCGGAGGGGGGAUGGUCUCCACCAUUCGUCCUCAGUCUCGUCCCCUCAAUCCAGUCCCUGACACACUAGAAUGCUGAAUAUCCAAUGAAGCUGCAUGUUGGAAGUUUGAGGAUGUAGUUAAACUAUGGAAUACCUUCCCACAAGACUAUGAUGGCCACUAACAUGGAGGCGUGCAUUAUACAAAUGCAUAGAAGACUAUCAAUGGCCACUAGCCAUGAUGGCUAUGCUCUCCCUCCGUGGUCAGAGGCCAUAUUCUUCUGAAUACUACUUGCUGGAAAACAUAGGAGGGGGAUUUCUCUUGCGCUCAGUUCUUGCUUGUGGGCUUCUCACAGGCAUCUGGUUGUACUUUGAGAAUAGGAUGCUGGACAAGAUUGGUCUGAUCCAACAAGCUCUUUUCAUGUGUUUAUGUUUGUCUCUUUGGAGUAUUCCAGGAUAGCAACAUGCUGAGGUACAAAGCCUAGAGAUCAUGAUAUGUAGUUAUCCUAAGAGUUGCUGGAUCCCACUUACCAUAAAUCUACCUUAGCAUAGCUGAAAAUAAUGGUUACCACCAGAACAUCCUGCCGCAAUCCUGCUACCCCGGUCUGCUCUCGACAAAUACUUUGUAUGCUGCUCAUGCCAUGGAUUGGAAAAAAGGUAUAUAUUUGGGAAAAUCACAGCAGCAUCCUGGAAAUGUGGUUUUUCUUGAGCCCAUGCUCAGAUCUCUCUGGAGAGAGGUGACAAUCUGCCUCAUGCCUGCCACCCAAAAUAAUCCAAGCAAGAGACAGACAAUGGCAGCCCAAGCAAGGGGCAACUGGGUAUAUGGGGCUGACAGUAGGAAUGCCAAUUAAUACAUUUCAAAAUGUUCCAGUCCUUUCAGAAGGUGCUGAGCAGUUUAGGAAAGUGGACCAUAGAGGUAGAGCUCCAGGAGAGCUGAUCAACUGAGGCAGACUGGCAUUGAUGAAACCUUAGCUCCAGCCAAGGUUAACUUAGAUUUCAGGGGGCCUUUGGUGCAGUGCUGACAAUGCCCCCCACCCCAAAACAGUCUCACCUACUGGGGCAGGCCUAUGGAGGAAAGGGAGAGGCCAAGGGGUCAGAGAUAUCCUGUUACCAAAAGCCACCAAACCCUGAAGCCAGACCUGUCGAAUAGGAAAAGUUCUCUAAAUCAGGGAAAGCCAAUGUGGUGCCAACUUCCACCAGCCCAUCCAGCAUGACAUUUGGUCAGGAAUGAUGGAAGUCCAAAACAUCUACCACACUGCUUACCCCUGCUUUAGAUUAUGCCUUCUGCGCAAGUAUGGACAACAGUGGAAUAGCUGGAAAAGCUAUUGACUUGUAUCCAAAACCACAUCUGCUUGCUCAAGUCAAUCCUGCUGAAUUCUUUCAAUUUCGCCAUCUCACUGCAGCCAUCACCCCGCCCUGCCCCAUCCCCUUGCCCCAGCCUACUUCAUUCCAUAGGAUCAGGAGUAGUUUCAUGGGGGCAUAGGCACCGUAAGGGAAGGAAAAACCAGGAAAGUCUCACUGACCAAACAAAAUUUCACUCAGUCUUCUAUGGAUCUAACCCAUAUAAUGCUGAUUAUAACAUUAUAAUGUGACAUAUCAUGUUAGCCAUAGAACUCUUAAUAUUACCAAAUGUAACUUUUAAAAAAAUCAAAAUGCAUUGUUUACUAUCCCAGAUUUUGCAUAAUUUAUAUCAAAACUAGUGUGUGAUCAAAUGAUAGUCUAUUGGAGAUAGUAACUGAAUCAUUAUCUUGGUUCCCCCCCCCCCUUUAAACAAAAUCAGAAGAGGGAUAUAUUUGAAAAAGUGUUGUGUAUGACUACCAUCUAGCUGCUGGCAUUUAAAAUGUAUUCUAUUAAUCUUAUAAUCAUGAAUCACUCAGACACAAUCAAAUGAAUCUUCAAAUUCUUAGUCUCCUGUGCAGUUUAUACAUCACUUUAGCAGAUUUCCCUUGCUUUCGCCCUAACCUUAUGAUUUCUUAUUUCCCCACCGUUACAGAAUCAAUUAACGCUUUGUGUGCCCUUUCUACUUCUCUAAUGCACUGCAGGCAGUUUAGAAAGAGUUAAGUACAGAACUGACACUCUUCUAUAAUACGCCAUUGUCUAAAGUCAAUAUAAUUCAUUUUUACUCAGAGGGAAGAUUAUAGAGCCACAUUUUUUAUAUAGUGGAAUUAUAUCUUUUAAUAAUACAAGCAGAUGCAAAAGAAGAAGAAAAAAGAAAUCCCACACACUUCUGUUGUUGUUUUCUUAGUGUACCUUACUUUCUAAUUUUUUGUUAAUUAAAUGUGCAUUCUGUACCUUAGCUAUACAUGAAGUGAAUACAUUUAAAAUGAAUUUGCCUCUUGGAUAAAACACAAACUCUUUCCAAAUGAAACAUUUCAAGGUAGAUUUGUGGGUGUAAUUUUCUCAUGUGGAAAUCUUCUUGCCUAGAAUUAUUUUGUAUAUAAGUUUCUUUUUGAGUCUUUUGUUUCACAAUCUCUGGGGCUGCCAUCUUAUAGACAUAAAUGCUCCAGUACCCGACUUCAAUUUUCCUAGAGAGGUGUGUGGAAAAAAGGAGAAAUGCAGUAUGAGUUGGAGAGUGGAGAUAAAUUAGACUAGAGGGAGAUGUAAGGUAUUAAAAAAUGCUCUGACUGCCAAAAAAAAAAAAAAAGGUUCACUGCACUCCAAGUCCACCUUCAAACCUGACUCAGGAGGAUAUUCUUUUGUAUAAUCCUAUCUCAGCACUGAAAUCACCUUAGGCAAGCCACCUUAGGCAAGCUUCAGUUUAGUUCCAGCCUUUCCCCUUACAUAAACUGAGUAUGCAGGACUACCUUACAAGGAUGAUGUAAACAUUACUGAUAUAUUGGACAUGAAACAUUUUAAUAUAGGAUAUAUAACUGAUUGGUUUAAUCCAUGAGCAGCUGCAUAAGAUCGAUAACAAACACAGACUUACUGUUUAAAAGACAACACAAACAGGGAAAGGGGUGAUAAGGGAAGAUUCAAGCAAGCAAACUCAGGCAGCAGUUCCUAAAUGGACCCGGUUGCUGACCACAGCUGAUGGGACAGGCCUCAUCCUCAUCUCUUCCUCUGCUGCAACCAAACAGAAUGGCUAACACUAAGUGACAGUUGAAAGAUGGGAGGAACCAAAUAGAGCUGGUUUCUCAGCAGAGCCAAAAUACCCAUAACGAGCCAUCACAUUCGUUUCUUUUUAUAUAUAUAUAAGAUAUUUAUUAAAGUUUCAGCAUAUUACAAAAAUAAGAGAAAGAAGUAAAAAAAUAAAAAAUAAAAAUAAAAAUACAAGGUAAAAAAAACAGUUAAAAACAAGUCCAUCUUUCCAUAUCUUAUCUUUCAUUUGCUUGUUUCCCUGACAUCCUCACACCUCCCCUUCUUGCAUUCCAGUUCAAUUAGUUAAUUCAGCAAUUCCUUUCCCUCUUUGAUUUUAUCUUAAUCUUUUAUCUUAAUAUAUUAUAAUUUUAGAUUAUCACCUGUUAACAAUCCAUUUUUACAUAUUCCUUUAUAACAUUGCUGCUAAAAACCACUUAACUUCAAUCCAACAUCAUUCUAACAUUCAUUAAUUUUACAGUAUUUCUGUAGAUAGUUUUUAAAUUUCUUCCAAUCUUCCUCCACCGACCCCUCUCCCCGGUCUCGGAUUCUGCCAGUCAUUUCCACCAGUUCCAUAUAGUCCAUCACCUUCAUCUGCCAUUCUUCCAGAGUGGGUAAAUCUUGUGUCUUCCAAUACUUUGCAAUAAGUAUUCUUGCUGCUGUUGUAGCAUACAUAAAGAAAGUUCUGUCCUUCUUUAACACCAAUUGGCCAACCAUGCCCAGGAGAAAGGCCUCUGGUUUCUUCAGAAAGGUAUAUUUAAAUACCUUUUUCAUUUCAUUAUAAAUCAUCUCCCAGAAAGCCUUAAUCCUUGGCCACGUCCACCAAAGGUAAAAGAAUGUACCUUCAGUUUCUUUACAUUUCCAACAUUUAUUAUUGGGCAAGUGAUAGAUUUUUGCAAGCUUGACUGGUGUUAUGUACCACCUGUAAAUCAUUUUCAUAAUAUUCUCUCUUAAGGCAUUACAUGCCGUAAACUUCAUACCUGUGGUCCAUAACUGUUCCCAGUCAGCCAUCAUUAUGUUAUGUCCAACAUCUUGUGCCCAUUUAAUCAUAGCUGAUUUCACCGUUUCAUCCUGAGUAUUCCAUUUCAACAGCAAGUUAUACAUCUUUGACAAAAUCUUGGUUUUGGGGUCUAACAGUUCUGUUUCCAAUUUUGAUUUUUCCACCUGGAAGCCAAUUUUCUUAUCCAAAUUAUAUGCCUCCAUUAUCUGAUAAUAAUGAAGCCAAUCUCGCACUUUAUUUUUUUAGUUUUUCAAAACUCUGCAAUUUCAAUUUGUCUCCCUCUUGUUCCAAAAUUUCCCAAUAUUUCGGCCAUUUGGCCUCCAUAUUGAGUUUUUUCUGAGCCUUCGCUUCCAUCGGUGACAACCACCUUGGGGUUUUAUUUUCAAGUAGGUCCUUAUAUCUUAUCCAGACAUUAAACAAUGCUUUCCUGACAAUAUGAUUUUUAAAUGCUUUAUGUGCUUUGACCUUAUCAUACCACAAAUAUGCAUGCCAUCCAAAUACAUUAUUAAAACCUUCUAAAUCCAAAAUGUCUGUGUUUUCAAGAAGCAGCCAUUCUUUCAGCCAGCAAAAAGCUGCUGAUUCAUAAUAAAGUUUAAGGUCUGGCAGGGCAAAUCCGCCUCUUUCCUUUGCGUCCGUUAGUAUUUUAAAUUUUAUUCUAGGCUUCUUGCCCUGCCAGAUAAAUCUAAAAAUAUCUCUCUGCCACUUCUUGAAACAAUCCAUUUUAUCCAAAAUUUGCAAUGUUUGAAACGAAACCAACAUUCUAGGCAAUACAUUCAUUUUUAUCACAGCAAUGCGGCCUAGCAGUGAAAGCUUCAAAUUUGACCAAAUUUCUAAAUCUUUUUUCACUUCAGUCCAGCAUUUUUCAUAAUUGUCUUUAAAUAGAUUCCCAUUUUUAGCUGUCAUGUUAAUCCCCAGGUAUUUCACUUUCUUAACCACUGUUAAGCCUGUCUCAUUCUGAAACCUCUCUCUCUCAAUCGCUGUUAAAUUUUUCUCUAAGACCUUUGUUUUUAACUUAUUCAGUUUAAAUCCUGCAACCUGACCAAAUUCUUGAAUCAGUUCCAAAACUCUUUUAGUACUAGAUUCUGGCUCCUGUAAUGUCAAUACUAAGUCAUCUGCAAAUGCUCUCAAUUUGUACUGUUUAGCUCUGACUUGUAUACCUUUAACCAAUUGGUCCCUUCUAAUCAUAUUCAGCAGGACCUCCAGGACCGAUAUAAAAAGCAAUGGGGAGAUUGGGCAACCUUGUCGUGUCCCUUUUUCUAUCUUAAAUUCCUCCGUCACCACGUUAUUGACAAUUAAUUUAGCCUUUUGUUCUGAAUAAAUUGCACUUAUACCAUUUCCAAAGCCUUGGCCUACCCCCAUCCCCUGUAGAUUCUUCUUCAUAAAACUCCAAGAAAUAUUGUCAAAAGCUUUCUCCGCGUCCACAAAUAUCAAAACUGCCUUGGUAUUAAUAUUCACUUGUAAUUUUUCUAAAAUAUUGAUUAUGUUUCUCAUAUUAUCAGACAAGUGUCUGAUAGCCUGCUUGAUCUUUAUGAAUCUCUUCCACUAGCACUUUUUUUAGUCUUUUCGCCAAAAUAUCUGCAAAGGUUUUAUAAUCCACAUUAAGCAGUGAUAUGGGGCGGUAGUUCUUGAGUUCUUUUCAGUCUCUGUUUUCGGUAUAAGUGUGAUGUAUGCUUCCUUCCACGACUCUGGUGCCCUUUUCCCAUCCAAUAUUUCAUUACAGACUUCCUUUAAAGGUUGUACUAACCAUUCUUUUAAAGAUCUGUAGUAUCUAGAAGUCAGUCCAUCCGGUCCUGGAAAUUUACCUAACUGCAUAUUCUGAAUGACACCUUCUACCUCCUGUUCAGUUAUUUUAUAAUUCGACAUUAAUUUGUUUUCUUGAGAGAUUUUUUGUAAUCCAUUUAUUUUCAAAAAUCGAUCUAUAUCAAUUUCUUUCUGUGGCCCUUGUGUAUAUAAUUGUUUAAAGUACCUCUGGAAACAUUUUCUAAUCUCGACUGGGUUCUGUAUGUUCUUUCCUUCCACUUCUAGAUUUAUAAUAGUGUUUAGUUUUUGUCUUUUUUUCAUUUGCCAGGCCAACAAUUUCCCACAUUUAUUAGCCGACUCAAAUGUCUUUUGUCUCAUUUGUUUAAUUUUCCAUUCUAUUUCCUGAUUCAUCAUUUUCAUAUAUUGUACUUGAUAUAACUUUAUUUCUCUCAAAAUCUCUUGCGACUUUGGUUUUACUCUCAAUUUCUUCUCACUUUCCUUUAUUUUCUCCAAAAUUUUAUCUUUCUUCUCAUUUUGGAUUCUCUUCUUUAUUGCAUUCUGUUGUAUCAAGAACCCUCUCAUAACCGCUUUGCUUGCGUCCCAGAUUACUCUUUUUUCAACAUUAGUGUUCAUGUUUGUCUCGAAAUAGCCUCUCAAGGUUUUUGGGGACUUCUUAGUCACUUCUUCAUCUCUAAAUAAGGUGUCAUUCAUCCUCCAUCUGAAAGAGCCAGUUGGUGUUAGUUUCAUCUCCAUCUUCACGGCAUUAUGGUCGGAGCAGGUUUUUGGACAAAUUUCCACUUUUCUUGUCUUUGGUGCCAUUCCUCUAGUUACCCAUAUUUGGUCAAUUCUUGUCCAUUUCAUUUUGGCUUCAGAGAACUAGGUUCCCUCUCUACCCAAGGGAUUCUUUGUUCUCCAAAUAUUAACUAAAUCCAAGUUGUCUGUCAUCUCAAAAAAGGUUUUCGGUAGUCUACCAUCCUUAGUGACUACCUGUCUUUGUGCCUUGUCCAUAUUUGUAGAUACCACUCCGUUCAUAUCCCCCAUCAAAAUCACAUUAUAGUCCAAAUAGUCCAUCAAGGUCUCAUGCAACUUUUUAAAGAAUUCAGAUUUCCCCUCAUUUGGUGCAUAAACUCCUACUAUCAAAAAUUUUUCUCCUUGUAUUUGAAUUUCAAUUGCCACAAAUCUUCCUUGGUCAUCUUUAAAGAUAAAUUUCAGUGAUAAACUCUCCUUUGCAUAAAUCACUACUCCUCUUUUUUUUACUUUGUCCGAUGAGAUAAACUCCUGGCCCAGUCUUUUGUUGAUCAAUACUGUUCUAUGUAGCCUUAUCACAUGUGUUUCCUGUAAACAAAUCAAGUCCAAUUGUUCCUUUUUUAAUAAAUGAAAAACUCUUUUCCUUUUCUGGGGGGAGUUGAGACCAUUAGUAUUCCAGCUUAAUAGUUGCAGAGCCAUGAUGUAGUUACUUUGCUUUUCCUCCAACUGCGCCAAGUGUUUGUUCUUGUUCUGUUGGUGGUAUCGCUUUCUCUAAGCAGUCCAGUCCAAAAGGUAGUGUUGCUAUGUCUAGUAUUCCUCUUUCUAGUGCUCUUAGCUCUUCUCCAGAUUCUUUCUGCAAAUCUUCUCCGUGAUCUUUCAAAAAUCUUUCUUUGUCGUCCACUGAUCUUAUUUUUAUCUUUCUUCCUUUGAAGCUAAAAGAUAGGCCUUGGGGAAAUUCCCACCUAAAGAUAAUUCUGUUGCUUUUCAUUUUUUUUUUUAAAGAAUGUUUAUUCCAAUUUUAAGAUUACAUAGAAAGAAAAAAGCAAAAAAAAGAAAAACAAAUCACAUACACCCUACAAAAAAAAACACCACACGAUACAGAAAAAAAAUACAAAGGACAAAAAAUCACAAUACAAAAGUAACAAAAAAUCAAAUUAAACCAUUAAGAUCAUUUUCCCAUUUACUUAUUUCCAAGACUUCCUCUCACUUCUCUGCUUUGUAUUCUAAUUUAAGUCGUAUCUCCAGCAAACCCUUCUAACCUUCUUUUCAUUUACUUAAUUUAACAUUCAAAAAUAUUUAAUUCUCCUCUAUUUUUUAUUUUACACUACAUAUUUCCUUAUUCCAUUAUACUCUGUCUGCCAAUACGGUCUAAUUCUGUUGCUUUUCAACAGGGCAACCAAAUCUCCGUAAUUGGACCUAAGGUCCAAAAGAUGUUUCGGGAUGUCUUUAAAUAUCUCCACUCUUGACUGAUGUAUUUCCAAAGUCUUCUGAAAGUGCAGACUCAAGAUUUUGUCUCUCUCCUCUUUUGUUCGGAGGGUGAUCAAACAGUCUCUCACCCUGUUCUUCUUCCCCCCUCUUCCAAGCCUGAACGCACUCACUAUCUUAAAAUCUUCCUUCUCCAAAUCUAGGUUCCAAAAGUCUGCAAAUUCCUGCAUAAGAAAGUCAAUCAGGUUGUCUUUCUCAAGUUCAGGUACAGCCCUGAUCCUCAAAUUCGUUUGUUUCUCCUUCAAUUCAGUCAUAGACAACAUCGACCUGUGGUCCUCAAGUUGCCUAUGUAUCGGUGGUAUCUUCUCUUCUACAGCAACUGCUUUUUCCUUUGCUUCUUCGGCUGUCUUUCGGGUCAAAGUAGAUUCCUGUAGCAGUUUCUCAAUAGUUUCUGUGUUAGUGUUCACCUUCUGUCCCAAAUUAUUAAUACUUGUAGUGUUUUGAUCAAUUUUAGUUGAUGCUUCAGCUACUUGUUUACUUAGUUUUUCCAAAGAUUCAUUAAUUUUGCCUAAUGCCAGAGCUAAAACAUCUUCAGAUGCCAUUCCUUUUGGUUUAAGUUGUACAGAUGUAGCCCCUGUUGGUGCAGAAGGGCCAGAUGCUGAUGCUCUUCACUGCAGCCAAGAUUUACCAGACCUCGUUGUUUUUUUCUUGAAACAAGUCUAUCUUUUCUUUUCCAUCUGCCAUAACACUCUAGUUAAAGCUCAAGGUCAAUUUGUUUUGAAGUGGAAAAUUCCCCUGGUCCAGUUGUUGUAACAAUUUCAAACUUCCUCUAGGGGGACACAGUAGCAGUCAAAGCUUGUUGCAUUAAAAAAUAACUCUUUUUAAUCCCCCAAUUCACAAAAUAGGCAACAAUUUCAAUUUCAGUUAGUUUCCAGUUACUUUAAAAUCAGGAGAAGCCAGCCAGAAACAAUGUAUCUCUCUUUCAGAGUUAGCUGUCAAAAGGUACUCUAUUCACCAACAGCGCAUUCACAAUAUGGCAUUCUUAUUGUCCAUUGGCAGUCCGUUCCCAGGUUUUAAGCGGUGGAUUUUUAUUUCCUUUCCUCUCUUUUUGCAGGAAAAUAUAGUUCACACCUUUCCCCCCUCCUCUCCUGCAACCAAGGGGGGAAUCGCUUGCUCUGAUGUUAGGAUUAUAGUCCUUUUCAAUCGACUUUCCAGGUUUUAGUUUACAACUUCUUUGCUUUACUCUAUUUACAAGAAACGGAAGGCGGACUUCCUGUUUAUGCCUCCCCGCUUCAGUGCCAAAUUAAAUCUUUAUUUUCCUUUAUUUCCAAGUUUAACCUACUCACGGGUAGUUGUUUUUGUAGCCAGAUUGUCACAGGAAAAAGUCAGCACUCUCCGGUAACGGCUGUGCGGCUUCGCUCCACGGAAGAAGCAGUUGACUCUCAGCACCACGCCGCUUGCCCCGCUUCGCUCCGGAGCCCGUAAUUGGGUUCCUUUACAAAUUGGGGGAGUGCGAAAGGUGCCCGCCGAGUCCCACGGUCACAGGCUUCACCCACCUGUGAUUUUUUAAAGGGUCCCCGCUUCGGCGUAGCGGAACAGACCCGAUUUCCGUAGAGCCAGUCCCUCCGGAUCAGAGGGAGUCCGCCAUUACCGAUGGCGCCACCCCGGAAGUCCACAUUCGUUUCUUCAACUCUCAGCUCAUCACUUCUGUGAAGCCGUUGGCUUAGUCUCAUCCAGAACAAUCUUGAAAGGUUCUGGGGUUUAUCAGAGAAGAAAAACCACUGCUGCAUCUGAAGCCCUGCCAGCUCCUAACAGUCCAGACAGACCCAAGUGGGCAGGUUUGCAUUUCCUGCUACUAUUCAGCAAAUGGAUUGGCAGAUGAUCCAGGGAUCUUCCCCUAAUAAGGCCCCGAAAUAGGACAUUUCAGGGCUAGGGCAAAGCAGGAUUGGUAUGGGAUCCAGCCUUUGUCUGCUUUGGUACACCCCUCUCCUAAAAUGCACUAUUUCAGGGACUUCUGCUGACAAGAUUCCUUCUGUUGAGUAUUUAGCAAUCAUCCCAUGCCUUUGGUAGGUACAGUGUGGGCUUCUGAGGUGGAAGAUCUCUCCCCUGGGUGGUGGAGCCUGGUGGUAGGAAAAAACCAGCAGUGUAGACUGGGUGUUAGGAUUGUGCCUUUAGUCCAGCUCAUUAACUCAAACAAAUGUGACGUACAUGCAGCUGCCUUCAUCUGUUGUCAACGUCCACUCACACUUUCCUAUUCUUCUGCAGUUUGUUUUCUCCUUGUUCCUUCCACUUCCUCCCUUAUUGUCUUUAACAACUCACUGUCUAAACUGAGAUUGUAAACUCAUCAGUGACACGCCUUUUGUUUAUGCUGCUCCAUAAAGUGCCAUUUACACUGAUGGUGGUAUAUAAAAAGUUAAGCAUCCCCAUUCUUCUCUACUGCCUCUUCUUCCAAUCCCACUAGGGGAAUUUAGUUCAUAGCUGUACGUAGUGUGUCCAGGCCUCUAGGAGCUGAAAUGGGAAGUGCGCCCUAGUCAAUCAUCUUCCUACUCCACCACAUUGGCAUCAGGUUGUUGACAUUUCUAAAGGGGCAGCUGGUAGCACAGCUGCAUUAAUACAGGCCACUGUGUCAGUCUGCCAUCCCAAUCAGAUCGCAUAAUCAGUGUAACACCACAAAACAUAAUGUUGCAGUGGAGUUUCAGCUAUUUUGUCUCUUCUCAAUGCAUUGGUUUGAGCUGCAGGAUCAAGUGUUCUGGAUUUAUUUGCAUUUCAUUUAAUAAUGAUUUAUAGCAGCAUGUGGCAGCCUUAGUGAUUCCUUUGUCCUUUUUUUCCCCCUUCCCUGAAAAAAAUAAAUGUCUAUUUCUUCUGUCAAUGCUUCAAAUUGCUAAGUGGUCUAAAAGGCAAAGAGCAUAUUUGAUUUUCAGUAAGGUAUUUUUCUUUCCCAUUCCCAUAGCAAAUUGCUAAUGACAAUUUCCAGAAAAUGUAUUCCUUACUCACUAACCUAUUGUUACUUGUGUCUUGAUCUUGUGCCUUUGUCAGACAGAAUUCAUCAAUAGCCAACAUUCUUAAAAGGAUGAUUGUAAUGGAUGAAUAUUGUAACUGCCCAGUGCUGUUUUGUAUUUAUUCUAUUUCAGAGAAACUGUCUGUACCAUCUUCUAGAACUCGUAUUAUGCCAACAAUCCAAUAUUCUUUAUGUCCGUAAGUCCAAUUGAAGAUACCAAUUCAUAUGCAUAUAACUUCGUUUGUUUGUGAGGGAUGGGAUUUCAUUUUACAUUACUAAAAAGCUAGGCAUGAUGUGGAAGAUUCGUGAUGAAGAACUCCUGCAGUGUCUUGAAGUUUUGUUUUAUUUUACUCAUCAAAAGAUCCACUUUGUGCCCUUCCUAUCUGCAUUCCCCCCCCCAUUCUUUCUCUCCCAUUAAUGAGAAAAUGAAUUGUCUUCUUAUGUGUAGGGUUAUGCUUACCUUACUUUUGAGGUGGCCAAGCGGUGUCUGUGAGUGUCUUUUAUUUCAUUAUGCAUAUCAUCUCACCUGUUGCCUGCACUCUGUAGCCUUCCUCAAGAAGAGUUUGGAUUUGAUAUUCCGCUUUAUCACUACCCAAAGGAGUCUCAAAGCGGCUAACAUUCUCCUUUCCUUUCUCCCCCACAACAAACACUCUGUGAGGUGAGUGGGGCUGAGAGACUUCAAAGAAGUGUGACUAGCCCAAGGUCACCCAGCAGCUGCAUGUGGAGGAGCGGAGAUGCGAACCCGGUUCACCAGAUUACGAGUCUCCCGCUCUUAACCACUACACCACACUGGCUCUCUCCUGGGUGCCCAUGCUUCAGUUAAAGCCUGGGGAAAUACAUCAGGAAGCAACUCCUCUUAGCAACGGCAGAGGAAGCUGCUCGGGCGCCUGGGGCGGCGCACCCAGGGGUGGGGCAAGCCGCCCAUAAGGAUGGGACGCACUGCGGGGCCUCCAGAGUCUGCCUGCCUCCUUCCACUCAGCCACCCUACAACUGGGGGGGAGGCAGUGGGCAGAUCGUUUGGGCAGCGCAGAGCCUGUACACGCCCAAGCCACCGUGUCUCUCCCAGUGAGUGCCGCCUGGCAUUUUGUCACCCCGUCAGUGGUGACACCCAGGGCAACCCGCCCCCACCACACCCCAUUUCUUCCGCCCCUGCCUCUUAUUGGACUUUUUCUGAUCAGGAAGUGUGUGAAGUCAGAGUAGCUCUACACAGAAAUGUUUACUGCAGGGAAAAAUACACCUACUUUUCUUGGCCACCUUCCAACAAUAAGAUAUCCUAAAAUUCCACCAAACUGCAAAAUAAAUUCUGUGGUGCUUGUUCCUCCUUCUCUUGUUUUGAUAUCAAAAGAAGCUUAAUAAAAAACCAUAUGGUAUUUUGAGAAGCAUUAAAUACAGAAGGAUCUAUUUAAUACAAUUCUUCAAAACAGCUGUAUGAUGCUGCUAAUUAUAGAAAAUGAAAGCUAACCAUAGCAGAGCCUGCUCACGGGUCUCCUGUGUUGAAUUGAUUCAUGUCUUUUGCGCCCAUCCCCAGAACAGUCAAGUGUUGAAAAGCAAAAGUUUUAUUUUUACGAAAUCACUUUUGCCAACACCUAUACGGAAGUGAAAAAUUAAUACUCAGAAAUUCAAUGUAAUCUAGCCACAAACACUUCUUUAUGUAGCAUGGGUCAUGAAGAGUCGGACACGACUAAAUGACUAAACAACAACAAAAUACCUUUAUGCACUGGCUCCCUGCAGUUGCUACUGAUACUUUAAGGGACCUUGUCAAUUUUACUUUCAGUUGGCAUGCAAACAUAAAUUGGGUGCAAAACUCAUCUGUUGUCUGGGCUAACAUGAUCAAAUUUUAGCACAGAGAAAUAUGCAGCAAUACAGCACAAAAGACAAUUAACACCUCAGUCCUAAGAUUCCAAGGAAAUGUGUUGAUAAUCUCAGUCUUGGACCAUGAAAGCGCAUUUAAGAUCUAUGUGUAUAUUGCAGAGCUUUUGUUGUUUUAGCCAAAAGAAUACCUUGAGCUAUAUCUGUCAGGCCGCUUUUGAAACUUAAUAGGGUUUUUUUUUUUUAAAAAAAAGAGUUUGCAAUGUUGUACAUGCAUGUAAAGGCUCAUCAGAUUAUGCCUUUUUAUACGUACAUUUUUUUUAUUGCAAAGAACCAAUAUGUGAAGGGACUCCAGUCACAAGGAGCACUUACAUGCAUCCAGCAGCUGACACAUGACUUUUACAGACACUGCAGCAAAUGCAUGGGCAUUGAGUGCUGCACCAGCAUGAGUGUGGGUUGUGGUUUGGCUCCCCACUGCCUCAUGUGUGCAUUGUACAUAUAGAUAACAUGAGAAAUGGACCACUGUGACUGAUAUGUGGACCACUGUUAGUAAAAAAAAAUGGUCUAUCUAUUUCUUUCCCUUUUAUUAACAAAUUGUCUUUCUGUUUCUUUCCCUUUUGUGUGGUGUCCUGAAUAUUUUAAUCCCUUGAAAUCAAAAUUGUUUCUCAAAAAAUAACAACAAAAUAUUAAGCAGGGGUAGGCAACCUAAGGCCCGGGGCCCGGAUGCGGCCCAUUCGCCUUCUCAAUCUGGCCUGCGGAUGGUCCGGCAAUCAGUGUGUUUUUACAUGAGAAGAAUGUGUCCUUUUAUUUAAAAUGUAUCUCUGGGUUAUUUGUGGGGCAUAGGAAUUCGUUCAUCCCCCUCCCAAAAAAAGUAGUCCGGCCCACCACAUGGUCUGAGGAACGGUGGACUGGCCCAUGGCAGAAAAAGGUUGCUGACCCCUGAUAUUAAGCUUUAAAUGCUGAAUUGUAAGAGCACUAGGAUGUUCUGAAGCUCUCUGUUGGCUAUGGCUAACAGGAGAACUGCUCUUUGUUGGCUGUCCACAAAAAAGUCAUUUUCUAUGCACCACCACAUGGGAAUAAUUUGUGCUCCAGAGUCCUGAGUGUACUUGUUCUAAGAUACAACAUAAAAAAAAUCCUAGGCUAGAAAUAAUUAAACCAAAACCAAAUACCUCAUAUUUCCUUUCUUAUCCACAGUCAUUCUUAUCCAUAUGCCUUCUAGUGAUAGCAUUGGUUUACAGGGCUGUUAAAAUCCAGCACAAAUUGGUAUUUCAAAAUGUAUCAUGUGGAACAUCAGUUUUGACCAAUCUAUUUAAAGUGUUAUAAAUCUAUACCUAACAUGGCAAAAGAUUUUGCUGUUUAGGUUGCCCUCUGUGUGGAUGAACACUUAUAAAACAAGAGAUGCAAAUUUAAUCAAUGGAUUUAAAACUUUACGCCACUUGAGGCCCUUGAUGAGCUUUUAAUCAGCCUAGCAAAGUGAAUGCAUCAUCCAAUUGUUUUUCAUCUCCCACCCUCUAAAUGAAAGACAAACAGAUAUUGAGGGGGGAAUUUAGGCACUAUUCACAUUUUUAUUUAUUUUAUUUCUCCUACUCUGUGCCUUUUGCUUUUUAGUAGCAUACUGUUUAAAAUAGGGGGAGGGAAUAUCCUUUCAAAGUCUUCUUUCAAAUUCAAGUAGUCAAGUGCUGUAUUGACACUUCUGAGUCAUGUCAAGAGACACCUUUUUGUACCCCUAGGUUAACGCAGUUGUACUGUCCAUGAAAGAGGCUUCUAUUUUUCUGACACAUUCUCAGGGCACUUCAGAAUUUAUUCAGAUUAUUGGUGGGUGCAGAGUUUAGCUUGCUUUAUUGUAAGCUGGCAAUAGGUUAAACUCCAUUCUAGCAUGCUGCAUUCUCCCUGGCUGCCUAUUCCUCCUGUCCUGGAAAAGCCCCAUCAGAUGAGUUACCUUAUAAUAUAUUAUAAUGUCUUUCCCUGAACUUUAAUUGACAGGUAGGAAGCCUGCAAAGCUGGUUACAGAAUGUCUGGAAAUAGUGUGCUCAAUGACGUUAUUUUUAAGGGAAGCCUUUCUCUUACCUUUUAUUAUCAAUAAUUGCUGAUUUCUUUAAAAGUACGAUGACCUAAAACAAUAGGUAACAAUGAACAGCUGUUAGGAGCACAUUAGGCUCUUCCCAUUUUUCUGUGCUUACAGGUAAAUCCAUUGGGGAUGUCAUGGAAUUUUCAGGAAAAGAGAGCACCCAGGAAGGCUGCAGGGUGCAGAAUGGGAAGAAAUGACACUCAUAAAACAUUGCUCAAUGACCUUAAAAGUAAGCUUCACAUAACAAAGUCUUGCACCACACCAAUAAUAAUUUCACUGUUUAAUCUCCCCUUUUCUAUUUCUUUUCUCAUUAAUUGAUGGAGAAUAGUUGGAAAAAACAUGUGGCAGAAAGUUUAGGCUCAGCAGCAGCUAGAACAGACUCUGUUGGCUAUAAGGACUGGUAGGGGCCACUGCAGAUUGAAGUCUGGAUUUAUUCUGGACUGUGGGUACUGAAAUAGAUGAGCAAUUGUGCCUGAUUGGGCCAUACUAAGGCUACAAUCCUAUGCACACUUACUUGGGAGGAAGCCUCACUGAACACAAUGAAGCUUAAUUCUAAGUAAGCAUACAUAGGCUUGCACUGUAAGCCUUUUUGAACCAUCUGAAGUGCAAAAGACUAAGACCCACUUGUCCUCCCCACAGCUUCCCCCCCCCAUACCUGUUUCUUCAGUAUAGGGACAACUUCCUCAUCUUCAGCUAACAGUGAUGGCAGCGAAGGAGAAGCUCUUUGAGCUUGGCACUGGAUAUCGUUAUUGUGCCCAGGCUUGUUAUCAUCUCGAAAGUGCUUCUCAACUCCUGCUGCUUCCAGUACCGGCUAGCAAAGAGCUUUAACUGAACGUUUUGUCUAAAAUUUAAGUUCUGGAUCUUGCAGUUUGACCCCCACUAUCCCCUUGACCUGCAAGUCUUCAGAUCUCAACAUUUCCAGGAUUGAAAAUUUCCAUACAGCCUAUGCAUGUUACUGAGUAGCAAGUCCCACUGUAUUUAUUGGGGUUUACUUGUAGGUAAGUGGGUGUAGGAUUCUGGCAAUAGUGAUACAUUUUUUAAAUAAAAAUGGGACAGGGAGCUUUUAGUAAUCCUUUUACACUAAUAAGGCUUUCUCUUGGGGGUGGGAUAUACUUAGAUCUCUUAUUGCUUAGACUGGAAAAAAUAGCAAUGAGAUGGAAAUUCUGCAUAGCAUUUCAAAUAAGCCACUUUAGCCUUCAAAUGUGCAUGUUGUUAAUUACAUUUUGUUUUUUGUUGUUUUUUUUUAAAAACUUAUUACCUUCCUAUUUGUUAUAGUAAUGUAUUCAUGAUCUUUUAAUGCUGACCCCAUGUUGAAUACCACAUACUUUUGCUUGAAUGUUCCAUUAACAUAAUUCAUUCUGUAGGCAGCACAUUUUCCUUUGUUAUAUUGAAGAUGCUCUGUUGAAACAUGAUGCUUUGCCAGUGUUCCAGUCCCCACACUGUUCUUAAUUAUUGUACAAUAUUGUUUGAGUAUUUGAACACUAUCCAGACCCAGUGACCUGUGUAAUUCAUUCCAUGGAUAUGCUGGAAACUAAAGUGUCAGCUAUUUAUUUCCUUUCAUUGCUUGUAUAUGAAGUAUUGGUUAUCCUUUGGCCUUAGUUCCCUGAAGUACUUCCCAUCUGUCAGGUGUUUCUGUAGUUACAUUUGUUUCUUCUUUACAUCCAUUUUAAAAAGCAGGCAUAAACCCAGUCUUUCUGAUACAUAAAUAAAAAAGGAGAAGUGGCGGCAAUUCAAGUUGGCAACUACACUCUAGUAUUCUUUCAGUGCAAUUCUAUGCUUAUCUGCUCCAAAAUAAGUUUCAUUAAGUUCAAAGGAAUUACUCCCAGGUGUGUGUAGGAUUGAAUGUAGUGAGUAGUUUUUCCCAUUUUGACUGUGUACUGCACUCAAUCUUGAAAAUAUAUAUCAAACAGCAGGCAAAUCGGUCAUAUCUAACUUCACUGUAUUUUGGGCUGAUUGCAAAAAUUGAAUUGCACAGAAGCCAGAUACAUAUCAUUGAUGGGUGUAUCAAACAUUUUCUCCAUAGUUCCCCUCCCAUCUUCAUUUUGUCAAUAGUAAAUAAUGAAGAUAAUAAAUUAAGCCAUCAUAAGAUCAUUUGAGUUUCCCACAUAGUUUAUUAUUAUUUAUUUAGAUAAAAUUGUCUGCUUCUGUUUGUGGCCAGUGCUCUUCAUCCUGUGGUACACAUAACUGCCUGGCAUUCUGUGAGUUACUAUUGGCUGAAAAGCACCAUUUGGUACAUGUGUUUGCUGCAGUUAAUAAAUGGUGGGCCAGUCAAUCAGUGAAUAACAAGCUGAUAUAAAGGGAACCGAUGAUACUAGCACCUGGCUUGCAGAACUUGAAGGUCUGACAGUGUGAAUUGAAUAUUAUGUGAAGACCGGUUUCACAUGUGCUUUCUUAAGCACAUUUAGGAGGUAAAAAGAAGAAGCAAUUCAUAAGAAAUCAAAAUAAAUCAUGGUAGCCUUGUUGAGAAUCUUAAUAUAUCUCUGCACUGAUUAUGAAGCUCUUGUCCAAAGCUAUACUCCCAAACCAUUAAGUACACAAGACAGCUAUGAAAUACCAUCUCAUCCUUUGUGUUUUAUUGUAUCGCAAAUGUGAGUCAUUGAUUUUACAGCUACUUUGCACUGAAUUGUUUAUGUUCCCAGUCAAGCCUGUAAGCACUCCAUUUACAUGCCUGAGGAGCUGGUUAAGAACAGAAGUGUUGCCAUAGAGACAACUGAGUGGUGAUAUUCUUUCAGGAGGGCUAAGACUCCCCUCACCUCCCCUGGCAGAAUGUUGCAUCAUCCUAGGGAUAAGAGGACAACAGACCAAGGACUGGUCUCUGUUUUAAGUCUGGUCUGAAGUUGGGAGCUUGCUCUCUGUGAGGAAUCCGAAGCUGUGACUUUGGGGACCUUACUUGAAAUUUAAUGGACAAGCAAGAUCUGUUGGUCAGACUCACAGCAUUAACACUCCAUCUUAUGCUUAGGUUGUAUAUAUGUGUAAAUAAAACCAUAUGUACUAAAGACACUAGAAUGUCUUAUGACCUUCUUUCCAAGGAAACUGAACCCUGGAUAAGUGCUGGCACCCCUAGAGUCUCUCACCACUCAGAUACUGAGAUGCAUCACAGCCUCCAUUCUGAUAAAUGGUGAUGAAGUAACUAGAGCUAGCCCGCAUAUGAGGCAAGGUGAGACAACUGCCUUGGGUGCCAGGAUCCACAGAGGUAGCAGAUCCAGACUCGAAGGAAUGCAUCUGGUAUGAACAUGUAUGAGAUUGAGGGCAAUUCACUCACUACCUGAAGCCAAUUGUGAGCCAAAGGUGAGCCAAACCACAGAUUGGUGAGCUUGAUGUUAAUACCAGGAAAGGUCUUAGAACAGUUAAUAAAACAUCCACUCUGUGAACACUUAGAAAAGGAUGCUGUAAUUACUAAGACCCAGUAUGGCUUACUCAAAAACUAGUCAUACCAGAUGAAUCUUAUUUUUUAUUUUGAUGCAGGCUUAUUGGAUCGCUUGGCGGAUUAGGAGAAUGCUGUGGAUGUAGUGUUCUUGAUUUCAGCAAGCCUUUUGACAAAGUAUCUCAGGAACUUCUUGCAGAGAAGCUGGUAAAAUGGGGGCUAGAUGAGGUAACUGUUAGAUGGAUUUGUGGCUGGUUGAUUGACUGAACUCAAAGAGUGCUAACUAAUGGUUCCUUGUCAUCCUGGAAAAAAGUGACAAGCGGGGUGCCUUGGGGUUCUGUCCUGGACAAGUUGUUCUUCAAGGGCUUUAUGAAUGACUUGGUUGAAGGAAUUGAGUGGAUGCACAUCCAAGUUGCAAAGUGGGAGGGGGGCUAAUGCCACAGAAGACGGAAUCAGGAUUCAAUAUGACCUGCAAACUGCUAGCUUGAAAACAUCACAUGAUGGGAAUGUUGGAGCUGACUGUGGGAAACAGCCUUCCAGCCAGCUCACAGGGCAGUUCACCGGAAAUUGCACAGAGUGUAAUUUGAGCUGUUCCUCUUGCUCUUGUACAGGAAGUACAGGAAGUCUUUGUCACUUGACUGCUGGAGUUUGAAGAGUGCAGUCAUGUUUUCUGUAAUGCUGCAAAGACAGAAAUAAAAGCAUGUAAAUACGUUUCUGUCUAUCUCCUUUUCCCUGCCGGGGGAGCAGGAGGGAGGGGGUGUGUUCUUCCCACGUUUGGGAAGAAUCGCCUAUCGUGACCUAGCCUGGAUCUUGCUGGGGAAUGCAGCCAGGAAGGUCAACAGGGGACCAAGCUAGGUGCCUGGGAGAGUUGCCAGUUUCUCCCGAUAAAGGCUUGAUUUCCGACACUUAACAGAUUUGAGAACUGGGCCCAAUGAAGAAAAUGAAUGUCAAUAGGGACAAAUGUAAGGUUCUGCACUGACAGCAAUAAUGAGCUGUACAAAUAUAAGAUGGGGGAUAUCUGGCUUGUUAGUAGAACAUGUGAAAAGUAUAUAGGGGUCUUAGUAGACCACAAGCUUAACAUGGGGAGGAUUCUAUGGUUGACCUCAGGUGCUAAAAUGUCUUGGGCUAACUCUGGACAUAGCCACUCCUAAAAUUAUGGCAAUGUUUUCAGGUAUUUCAUGGAGAAAUGUAUUUAGCCUAGAAGUUAUACAAAUAUCUAUAUUCAUGCAGGAAAACUAAUGAUAAAAAUAAUUUUAAACUGCUGGAAAUUGCAUGCACACACACACACACACACACACACAGACAGACAGACAUUUUUGUAAUGUAGCAACAUAAAAAUACUCACAUUUUGCUCCUCACUGAAUAUUUAAUUUGCCACAACAUGCCAGCAUAGCCUAAGACCCUUUUAUCAAUCAAUGUAAUUGCCUGAAACAAUCAGGAUCCCAUGUUACCUCACUCCACAUGUUAUAAAUUAGUUUAUAAUGGAUCAAAUUACUUGAUGAGAGAUUGACAGUAUAUGGUUAUGUGUUCAAAGAAAUGAUAGACUGUCCGAAGAGAGAUGUUCAAAUCCAAAUCUAUAGCCACUGUAAUCCCAAGUUAUUAUUCUUAUAGAAAGAAAAAUGUUUUUUUCUGAAAAUAAUUUUCUCCAUCAUAUUAAAUGAGAAUAUGGAUUUGCGACAAAAUCCUUACUGCAGAGAAGGACAGACGUGAAGGGGGGGCAUCACUAUUUAUGCAAGAAUUGUUCAAAUUGUACCAAAGAGAGUCUGAAUAUCUUUUCAGUCUCAAAUUAAAUAUUCUAUUAUAUGCUCUGCUUCCUUGUUCAUUGUCUAAUUUACCGAUGUGUUUUAAGUCAGGGAAGAUCUCUAUCUUUGCUUCAGUUGACUGGCACCCCUAGUUUUGAUUAUUUGUAUUGCUGAGCUGUUGUGUGGGGAAUGUAGUGGAUUUCUGUCGUAGGUAAAUGUAUGGGCUGCAUCAAUAGGAGUACAGCAUCUAGAUCAAGGGAAGUAAUAGUGCCACUGUAUUCUGCUCUGGUCAGACCUCACCUGGAGUACUGUGUCCAGUUCUGGGCACCACAGUUCAAGAAAGACACUGACAAACUGGAACGUGUCCAGAGGAGGGCAACCAAAAUGGUCAAAGGCCUGGAAACGAUGCCUUAUGAGGAACGGCUAAGGGAGCUGGGCAUGUUUAGCCUGGAGAAGAGGAGGUUAAGGGGUGAUAUGAUAGCCAUGUUCAAAUAUAUAAAAGGAUGUCACAUAGAGGAGGGAGAAAGGUUGUUUUCUGCUGCUCCAGAGAAGCGGACAUGGAGCAAUGGAUCCAAACUACAAGAAAGAAGAUUCCACCUAAACAUUAGGAAGAACUUCCUGACAGUAAGAGCUGUUUGACAGUGGAAUUUGCUGCCAAGGAGUGUGGUGGAGUCUCCUUCUUUGGAGGUCUUUAAGCAGAGGCUUGACAACCAUAUGUCAGGAGUGCUCUGAUGGUGUUUCCUGCUUGGCAGGGGGUUGGACUCGAUGGCCCUUGUGGUCUCUUCAAACUCUAUGAUUCUAUGAUUCUAUGAAUUGUUGACUUGUUUAGAUGAAACUUAUUUGUUUCUCAGUAGGUAGACUCUGUUGUGGUUCAUGUCAUUUCACAUAUUGCCAACAACCCUCAUGUUCACUGCAAUUAACAAUUCAGGUGGUUUUUAAUUGUUGUUCAGUUCUUUAAUUAUUUAUUUAUGCAUUUUACCUACCUUAGUACAUCAGUUAUACAAUUGUCAUCGUUUAUCUUACACUCUUUGACUUCCACACUCAUGGGACCUUAUUUUGUCCUUGUUAAGCUGCAUCUCCGUAAUUACCACCCCACUUCUGCUUAUUUUAACUGCUGCUCAUAUAUCUAACCACAGUUGGAAGUUUAUCUGAUCGUUAUAUUUCUUUAAAUAUUCACCAAAGUAUUCCCACUCUUCUCUUAUAUCAGACUCAUCUUGAUUUCUUAUCUUUGCAAUCAACAUUGCUAGCUCUGCUUAUUCUAGUAGCUUAUUCUGCCAGUCUAUAUUUGUCCUUCCACCAUUCUGGCUGCUGGUAUUUCCCCCUCUGCUGUACUCAGUAAGAACAUCUCUGGUUUCCUGGGAAAUGAGACCCUUAACAUCUUUUUUAAUUCUGAGUAUAUCAUCUCCCAAUACUCUUUGGCUUUCUUGCAACCCCACCACAUGUGUAUAAAUGUCCCUUCAAUCUCUUCACAUUUCCAACAUAAAUUGGUUCCCUUUUUAUACAUUUUUACAAGUUUUCUAGGGUCAAGUACUAUCUAUAUAUCAUCUUUUGUAGAUUCUCUUUUAGAGCAUAGCAUGCCAAGAAAUGUAUUGUUGUUUUCCACAACUUCUCCCAAGAGGCCAUAUCUAUGUUGUGUCCUAGGUCAACUGCCCAUUGAAUCAUAGAGGCCUUUGUCGUUUAUUUUUAAAAAUAACAAUCUCAGCCCAAUCUCAAACAUAUUUACUCUGAAUAAAAUAGUGGUCCUUACUCUGGAAUGUGUUCAAUAUCAGUGAAUGUGCCUUAAAUUCAUGGGCAUCAUAGCCACGGUUGAUUGCUGGAGAUGCAAUUUGCCACAAGCAACCAUACAGAAAUAGAAAUUUAUCCAAACAAUAUCAGAGGCAUCAGAAAUAAGUGUGCUUUAAGGUUGUUGUUUGUUAAAAAAUAAAAUAAGGGGAGGGAGGAGAGCUGGGAGUGGGGAAAUAAGGAAAAAUACUGUUUUAUUGUAGUAAUGUGAAAACUCUAAUAAACUAUAGAUUUUUUUAAAGUAUACUGUGUAGUUCAGUACUAUAAAACUAUAUAUAAAGGGGAUGUAGAAUUAUAUUACAAAGAACCAAGAAAAAGUUUUCAUCAAAGCUUAGCUUUGGAUCUUUAAUCAGAAAGGAGUGAUAGCUACUGAGUUGCAUUUUUUUGCUUACCAAGCUAAAUCUAGCCUUACCAGCAGCCGUUACCCCUUAGUAUUUUCAUCCACCUCAUUGACAAGAAACAUGGUGUAACUCAUUUGAUCUAUCAGUAAUGGAGAAACAGCUUGAAAGACAUUCCUUCAUUCCUGUCAGAAUGAAUCAACCUUGUAAUAUCUCAGAAGAUAAGCCCAUCGAUUCAUGACUAUAAUAAAUAUGCCAAUUUCUAUUGUUUUCUGUUAGCUAUGAAUGCAUUGAUUGUUUAAGCUCCAGUGGUAAUCUCAAUCCCAAAUAAUGUCCAAGAGAUAUUUUCAGUGCUUUAUUUAUUUCUCCAACUGCUUUGCAUCUCAUUUUCCUACUCCCCCUCCCUCUAAUGAAUCAUUUUACUACUUCUAGCAUAAACAUGGAAAAGAGGAGAAAUCUCUUGAUUCCUUUCAGUAGUUUCAAUUGCUGUGUGCCAUUUAUGGCAACAUCUGCUUAGAUUAGACUUCACUCCCCCCUCCCCAUUCAUCCCCUGUCAUAAUAAAAUAUUGACAGAAACAAUUUCUACAGGGAAAAUGGAAAGUUAAUAGAUAAGAUGAAGCUCUACAUGGUUUUUCAUUAAAGUUCUGGUGUACUCCCACAACUUCUCUUGUAUUUAUUUAGAUGAUAAUUUUUCAAGUAUGAAACUGAACUCUAUAGUCUUCUACCCACACUACCCAAUUCAAAGGGUUCUAACUUCCCUAGCACUGAACCACCUCUUCACAUGUUAGCACCAGUUAUCCAGGAGCAUUCACUAAUGUGGCUGCAUGUUUUAUGGUCUUCCUGUGGGGUUUUAAAGCUGAGAGUUUACUAGCAGUGAGAGACUUCCCUACCUUAAGUAUCAGCUUGGCUAUAUAUGAACUAAAUCCUACAUUCUUGAACUUUGGAGCAGGUCUCCUGAGGGAAAAGGAUGAAGGAAACCUGAACAUGUGAGGGAAAUAUUGUGUAUAUAUCUGUUUGUGUUUUAUACUUUGAAAUGGACUUCUGUGACUUUUGGUGAUGCCAGAGUGUAACUUUCAGAGUCCAAGGCCUUGUGUUGCUACUGUGCUGCCAGACUUUUUAGCAUUAGCUGAUUGGUCACAGGUUCUAAAAGAGAGAGGGGAAAGCCUCUCACGUUACAAUUUAUAGGCAGGGCCUGGAUCAGGAAAAUGCAUUCUGAUUGGUCUGGUAAAAAAUGGACCCUAACUGUUUGGAGAUUCUAGCCAGUGAAGAAUGGACAGUUAACAGUCAGCCUGGACUUCAUUGGCCACUGUGAAGAGAGGGGUCUUCCAAGGCUCAGGAGGCACCUGUAGCCAACAACAUAGACCAUGGGGAAGCGCUUGGACAGGACUUGCUCUCAGCCUAACUAUAUGCCCAAGUACAGAGCUUUAUCAUAGGCAGAAUGCUCACGCAUGAGUAGACUAGCCCGAGGAGUAGCACAGAGAGCCAGGCUAGUUCCUUUGGUGGAGAAUACAGACAGAUUGAUACUUCUGCAAAGUAAUGCAUGUUUGGGUGUAAAAUCUUAAUUUCACAUAUACAUUCAUGGCUUCUGAACUGUUGAUGACAAACCAGGAAUGAGACUUUGGAGUCAUAGUAGAUAGCUUAGUGGAGAUGUCAACCCAGUGUGCAGCGGGUAUGAAAGUGGCAAAAUUUAUGUUAGGGAUCAUUAGGAAAGGCAUUGAAAAUAAAAUGGUACAGUUCUGGUUACCUCACCACAAAAUGGAUAUUUAGAGUUGGGAAAGGUUACGAAAAAGGGCAACCAAAAUGAUCAAGGGGAUGGAGCAACUCCCCUAUGUAGAAAGGUUGCAGUGUUGUGAACUUUUUAGUUUAGAGAAAAGGUGAAACGAUAGACGUUUAUACAAUUAUGCAUGGCUUGAAGAAAGUGGGUGAAGAAAAGUGGUUUUCCUUCUCUCAUAACACUAGACCUCAUGGACAUCUGAUGAAGCUGAAGGUUGGAAGAUUCAAGAGAGAGAUAAAAGAAAGUACUACUUCAGGCAGCACAUAGUUAAACUAUGGUAAUCACUCCUGCAAGGGACGCGGGUGGCACUAUGGGUUAAGCCACAGAGCCUAGGACUUGCCGAUUGGAAGGUCAGCGGUUCGAAUCCUUUCGAUGGGGUGAGCUCCCAUUGUUUGGUCCCAGCUCCUGCCAACCUAGCAGUCAAAGUGCAAGUAGAUAAAUAAGUAUGGCUCCGGCGGGAACGUAAACGGCGUUUCCGUGCGCUGCUCUGGUUCACCAGAAGCGGCUUAGUCAUGCUGGCCACAUGACCCGGAAGCUGUACGCCGGCUCCCUCGGCCAAUAAAGCGAGAUGAGCCCCAGAGUUGUCUGGACCUAAUGGUCAGGGGUCCCUUUACCUUUACCCUUUACCUUUACCUUUUAUUCACUCCUGCAGGAGGCAGUGGAUGGCCACCAACUCUUUAGAAGUGGAUUAUACAAAUGCACAGAGGAUAAGGCUAUCAGUGGCUACUAGCCAUGAUGACUGUGCUCUGCCUCCAUGGGCAGUAUUAUUUUGCUGCUAUAAAACAAAGGAGAGGUGAGUGCUCUUGUACUCCAAACCUGUUUGAUGGUUUCCCACAGGCAUCUGGUCAGCCACUGUGAUAACAUGAUGCUGAACUAGAUGAGCCAUUGCCCUGAUCCAGCAAGCUCUUCUUAUGUUCUCUGCCCUCCAGUAUUCUUUGAUUUGGGGUAAAUGACUUGUUCAUUGACAGAAAAACUCCAAGGUGUCAGAGAGUCUAUUUGACAUCCAGCAAUGGCUGCAUCCACUCAAGACAGUCAUAACUAAGCAAAUGAGCUGUGAGGAUUUUUCCUUGAAUUUUGAGUCUGGGUAUAAAAGUGUGGGCAUGGGGAGCUGUUCUUAUUAUAGUUAGUUGGUGGGAUAUUAAUGGACCUAUUGACAAACUUUAUGCUCACCUUUCUUUUAUAUAUUUUAAAUGAUUUUUUUAAAAAACUUGUUGACCUGUUAGUGCUGUAGUGAUAUUGUAUUUUUUAUUCCAGAUUUUGUACUUACAUCUGUUUUGCUUUUUUUCUUUCUUUCUUGGUGAAUCAUUGUGGGAAAUGUGGUAAAUAAAUAAACUUUGAUCAUAAUUAAAGUAAAAAGAUGUAGUCCAGAGUUACAGAAUUUGGAGAGCUCCAACUGAGCAAUUUACCUGGACAAGGUCUAGAGCCCAAAUUAAGCCUUUUCUGUCUUCCUUCAACACAAAAUGUCUUUCUCAGGUUUCACCUCUUUACUGGAGAGUGGUGGAUUUAGAAGGGUGUGUUUCUGGCCUGGAGCUUUUGUGUCUUUUCAAUUAUCACCAUACAGUGGAACCAUGGGUUACGUACCAUCCUCCUUACAAACGCUUCAGGUAACGAGCUCCCCUAACCCGAAAGUAGAUGUCCCAGUUGUGAACUUUGCCCCAGGAUGUUGGUGGCGCGGUGGCAGCGAGAGGCCCCAUUAGCGAAAGCACGCCUCAGGUUAAGAACAGUUUCAGGUUAAGAACGGACCUCCAGAACAAAUUAAGUUCGUAACCAGAGGUACCACUGUAUUUUUUAUGUCUACACUGGUGAUACAGCAGUGGAAUUUUACUCCAGACUGAAUGUCCACCUCUUUUUUGUAGCCACAAAAUGUGAACCUUAGUACCAGGGCCUGAUUGUGUUCUUGAGCACACAGUUUGAAAAGUGGAGUUCCAACAAGUUAUUUAGUUAUGCUAUUAAAUUACCCUAGAAUUUCAACAGGAAAUGACAACUUUAACAAUAUGAACUGUCUGCCAUCAUCUCACUUCAUUGCUAUUUUUUGUCAUAAAAUAAAUUAAUUUUGUAUUUUUUCUGUUCUCAUUACCUUGGCUGUCAAUGAGGAAGCUAUGAAAGUUCUAAUAACACCUGAUGUACUUUGAUAAUUAUUGUUCUGUGCUCCACAACUUUUGACAUUUUCAAUUUUGCUCUUGAUCUGUUGAAUGGUUUUCUCUUUUCUAUAUGAUUUUAACGCAUGUAAAUAUGAAAUCAGCUCCUUGGCUUAUAUAAAAAGGGCCAUUUUCUCAUUAGUCUCCUCCCAAGCAAAACUAGGGCAUAUGAAAAAGGCAACAGAAAAAUCAACAUAUUGGCUACAGCAAAUGUUUUCGCAAGCUUCAUUGUUACUUGUUAUCAUACCAACUUUAAUCAUAAAAUUAGGCUGAUAUCAAACACGAAGGGUGGUAUUCCACACUAGUCCUACUCAGGGUAGACCCAUUAGAGUUAAUGGACAUGACUAACCUAGGUUCAUUAGUUUCAUUUUUUUAAAAUAAUAUUUAUUAAAAGUUUAAAGAUUACAGAAAAAGAAAAGAAAAGAAAAAUAAAAACAAUACAAAUCAAUACGUUGCUAUACAUAAAAAACAAAAAACAAAAAACACAAUACAUCAAAACAAAAGCAAAAGCAAAAACAAUUAAAAACACAUCCAAUAUUUCCAUAUCUUUGUUUUUCAUUAACUUGUUUCAUCGACCCACCUCCCUUUUUUGUAUUCUAAUUAUUAAUUAUUUCAGCAAAUCCUUUCCAGCUUUCACUAUUUUCUGUCAUAUAAUUGUCAUAGUUUAUUUUAACCUUAUCUUACCAUUAAUACCCUGAAACUUAUUUGUACUUAACUCCUUAUAACAUUUCUACUAAAGCCGUGUAAUUUCAUUCCAACAUUUUUCUAACACUCAUUAAUUUUAACAAUGUUUCUAUAAAUAAAUUUUAAACUUUUUUCCAAUCUUCUUCCACCGUCUCUUCUCCUUGGUCUCGGAUUCUGCCAGUCCUUUCUAUCAAUUCCAUAUGGUCCAUCAACCUGGUGAUCUUCUGUCCGAGGCUCUUAACUCUUUUCCAUGUCCCUUCUGCAGAUCUUCUUCAUAUUUAUACAUGCACUUUACUUUAUCUUCUGCUGAUCUUAUUCUUAAUUUCCUUCCUUUGACACUGAGGAGUAGAUCUCGGAGAAGCUCCAACCUAACAAUGUCUUUAUUCCUUCUCGUCAGGUCAGUCCAUUCUCCAUAGUCAAAACUAGAGUCCAAAAGAUAUUUCAGGACGUGUUUCAACUGGCUUUCUCUAAAUUCAAUAGUAGAAGGCAACAGCUUAUAUUCAUCAAAUUUUCUCUGUAAGACUGGGGUUCUCUGCACUUGUAUUACUUGAGGUUCUACAACAACUUUCUCCCUCAUCUUCUCCACAACUUGCCAUGUCAAAGUAGAUUCCUGAAUCGAUUCCUGAGUAGUUUCUGUAUGGAUAUUCACUUCUUGUCCCAAAUCAGUCAUUUUUUGUCCCAAAUUGUCAAAUUUAAUAGUCAUCACACCCAUCUUCUCAUGAAGCUGUUCCAAUAAAGCACUUAUCUUACAAAAUGCAAUCACUAAGGCUUCUUCUGUCGACAUUCUUGUCCAAGGUCAAUCUCAAAUUCUCACGGUCCUUUAUCUCUGCAGCUGGAAAAUUCCCCAGGUCCACUCCUGCAACAGUUUCAAAAGCUCCCUCUAGAGGAAACAAUUUCUAUUUGUAUCCGUCCUUUUAAACGCAGAUCCAGCAACAAAGUUAGUUUCAAUCUUUCAAUUACUUUUGCUCCUUUUUGAGUGCAAAAGGAAACAAUGGAAACAUUAUAUUUCUCUUAUUUAACUAUCUGUCAACGUACAUUUUGUUCACAGUCAAUGAACUUUCCCAAAACGUCAAUCUUAGUGACAGCCCGUUCCCAGGAUCAAAACGGUGGUAAUUUGUCUUUCUUCACUCUCUCUCCUGCAGGCUUAGGCAAUCUAAAAUUCCCCCCUCUUCUCCUGCUUCCAAGGGGGGGGGUUGAUAAUUUUGACUGAUGGAAAUUUAGUCCUUUACAAAAGGCUCUCCAAGACUUUAGCUUGCAGCGUCUUUGCUCAAUCUGUUUACAAAAGAGGAAGGCGGACUUCCUGUUUGAAACCUUCCCGUUUCGGUGCCGAAUUAAGAUGUUUAAAGAUUCAAUUUUCCGUUCUACUCACGGGUAGUUGUUUAAAGUCCAAUUGUCCACAGGAAAAAAUCAGCGCUCUCCGGCAACAGCAAUGCGGCUUCACUCCGUGAAGGAAGCAGUCGAUUCGAUGCACCGCUCCGCUCACCCCACGUCGCUCCGGAAUCCCCGAAACCGGGGAUUUCCCCGCGAGUAGGGGAGGCGCAAAAGGUGCCAGCCAAAUCCCACGUCCACAGGCUUCUCCCGCCUGUGGUUUUUAGUGGGUCUCCGCCUUCGCCGUGGCGGCCAGACCCUGAUUUCCCGAUCAGAGGAAUUCCGCCAUUGCCGGAGGCGCUAACCCGGAAGUCUCCCUAGGUUCAUUAGUUUCAGAGGGUCUUCUCUAAGUAAAAGUUAUUUCAAUGCCAUCCUCCAUUUGUAUCAUGUUCAGUACAGAAAUCAAAUAUUAUGUUUACACACAUGUACAAUUCUGUACCUGCAUCUUUAAAAUAGCCAGUGGCAGAUGUAAAUGUAUGAUCUUGUUGAGAUUCCUGCAUUGCAGGGGGUUGGAUUUAGAUGGCCAUCAGGUCCCUUCCAACUCUACAAUUUUAUGACUCUAUGCCUAGGCUUCCAAUUUCAAGUAUUAUAAUUGAACUCAUAGUUAAUAAAGUGCACAUGUGUUCCUAGUUGUACAAAUCCUCCAUAACAUGCUGAGGUUGGGUGCCUUCAAGGAAUUUUUGGAUUCUACAAGGUAGGCAUGAAUCAAGGCAGAAAGCCCUUGAAGUGCUGUGUCUUCCUCAGGAAUCCAGACACUAAAUGAAAAGAUGAAAUCAAGUGUCCUCAAAAAAUUAAUGUCAGGAUGUGAGAAGAUGGAGUAGCUGUGUAAAAUCAAAAUUUACAUCCCAUCCCUAGGAAAAUGUCAGGAGUUAGGAGAAACUCCUUCAUGACUGACAGGUCUCCUUUGCAAUCAAAGGGGGUUAUUUUAUCAGUGCACUCCAAUCCCAGUGCUUUGGAGGAGGAAGCAGUAUGGUGGGAGAGCUGUGCUAUGAUUGACAGGCCAUGACUGUGAGUGCAUAGCCCAAAAUGCUCUGGACCUGCAAUCUGGCAAUAACACCUCGGCCAUGUCUGCAGUUUUCAUAUCAAUUGGUCAUGCAACACCAACGAAAGAUAAUUAUUAUUUUUUUAACUAUCCCCAAAUGUUGACAGUCUUCUUGCAGGAAAACUACUGCAGCUAUUCUUCUGAAAUUUGCCAGGAUUCUUUCCCCCCAAAAAAAGAAUAAACUUGCCUACAAAUUUCUUCCAAUAUUUCUCAAACAGUUUAAAAAUUGUAAAUAUUAAUUUUAUAAACUACAUAUCAAAAUUUAGAUGUAUCAAACACAAAAAACCCUGAGGCUGCUGCCUGCAAUCCAGCAGGCUUUAUCUAUUCUGGGGCAGCUACAGUUCCUAAAAAAAAUCAAUCUACUUCUGCCAAAAGGGUGGGUUAUAUAGUUUUUUUUAAUAAAAAAGAAUAUUAACAGUGAAAUUGAAGGAGGAAAGCAACAUGGACUUGGACUGAUGAGUUGAACUGGGCAACCUAUGAAGCAUCUCAGAUCGAGACAGUCUGUUUUACAAUACAAUGAAUCCAGAUCUAAACAAAAUCUGCUCCUGAGUGCAACUCCUAGUGUUAAGCUCUUCUGUCAUAAUUGAAGAAUUAUUAUAUUACACUGACUUUUUAAAAUGAAAACCCUACAUCACAUACUUUAUUUUAUGCUGAACCAAUAUUGCAUUUUUCAUUUCUAAAUACUUAAGGUAAAUUAAAAAACCUUCAUGAAUCAAUGAGACGAAGCAAGAGUAACUUGUGAAGGGCUAAUGUCAUAAUUUGCCUUCGUCUAGUAGAGUAUGGAUGCACUGUAUGGCACCAGAAAGAUAAAUUCCCAGAUUGUCCCUUAAUUCUCUGUUCUGCUCCCCUUGCCGGUACAAAUCAGCAGACAGUGUGUCUGCUCCUUUGUAAACAGUAUAAAUUCCCUGUUGCUUAGUGAAUCAUUAGGUCAUGGAGUACAUAUCCACAAGGUUGUAUGAGUAACAUGAUUGGCUAUCUGGAGCACUCAAUAAGUUGUUUUGUUUUUUUUAGUCUUGUUUUUAUUUUUUAUAAAAAAACAAAUCAAUUAUCUUUAUUUUAAAGCCCUAUUGUAUCUGAGACAGCCAUUACUGUAACUUUUCAACUGCCAAGGCACAUCAAAUAUAUCAUUUAAAAUUCUAAUGGCUGCCAAAUACCUUGGCAGAGAUCCAGAAUCUCUCGACAUACUUAACUAUUUUACAGGAGCCAGGGGGAUGGGGAAUGGUUAAAAUAAACCUAUUAAAAACACAGAUUGCUUUCAAAAAAUGUUGAGCCUAUUCCCCCCCCACACACACUUUUCGUUAUCACAGCUCAGUUUUUUUAUUGAUGUGGUGGUUUUUCUUACAUGGAUUACAAUGGUUUUUUGGCUGCCAUUUCAAAAUUCCAAAUGCAGCCUUAUACACUAUGAUAUACAGGAGAAAUAGCUUUUUUCAUACUUCAACUUAGGAUGGGCAGAAUUCACACUAAGAAUCCCCCUCUCCUUGUGCUGCUGUCUCGAUGAAAAUCACUUCCCCACACCCAUUAUUUAUUUUAAAUCCCUGAUAUGCAACCUAGUGAUGCAUUUAGCAUCCCAUCUAGUGUGACCCUUGUUUUCAAAUGUUGCAAGUAUCUCUGCUUUCCCAUAAUUAUCAUAUCACAUGAGGAUGUUGGCACAGACUUACUUCACUAACUUGAUAAGCAUCUAGUAGGACUCUUUGCAAACAUCCUGGAAUAGCAUCUGUCAGUUCAGUGGCAGCUCAGAUCAUGUUCUGGCAUGCAGCAAGCUGGGCCUUUAGUAAUUUUAUGUGCAGUCAAGAACAAUUAGGUGCAACUGUGAGAUUUGCCAGUGCCUUCAAUUCAACUGGUAAAUAAAAGAGCUAUUUAAAAGAUGGCUCUGAAUAUAAAAUUCUUUCUUAAAUUUGGUUAAGUGGCCAUUAUAAUAGCCAACCCAAGUAAAUAUUUCCUUUUUGUAAGUUUUUCUAGCAAGGGUUAACAGCAUCAGGGGACAUGGUGAACUUUAUACGCCCCGUAAUAGGCUGAAAAAAAUUGAUAUAUAUGUAGAAAUCAACCAAGUAUGAAAAGUGUGUAAGAAAGAAAAAUGAAACGUAGGAGGUUGAGCCACAGCCCUAUGUUUACCACCUGGUAACAUGGAGGCAGUCUUGUUCACUGGUGGCACUAGUGUUGUGAAGCGUUUUCUUUGCUUGCAUCUGUUUAGAUGAGCAUUCUCCUCAUCUCUUGUUUUUAUUCUUUUAACCGCUGCUUUAAUGGCCUUGUUUAUUGCACAUUUUAAUUAUGUGUGUUUAUUCCAAUGUUUUGUUGGAACUGUUUUAUAGUGUAUUUGAAUUAUGUGCAGCCCUUAUUUUAAAGUGGUUUUAUACUUGCAAACCACCUAUUAGCAAUUUUGGCAAGUAAGCAGCAUAUAAAUUAAUACAGUAGAACCUCUACUUACAACCACCUCCACUUGUGGACGUUCCAAGUUGUGACCACAGCAAACCCGGAAGUAACCGGUGGGUUUGCCGCCGUUCACGCACGUGCAGGAGCAGCAAUUGCCUGCGCCUGCGCACAACGGCGCCUCUCCCAGUGACCCAUUUCGCCAUAAGGACGGGCUUCUGGAACGGAUUGUGGUCGUGAGUAGAUGUUCCACUAUAAAUACGUUUCCUGCAGCACUUUCCUGCAGAGUUGAUUUUUCUGAGAAAAACCCAGGUUUUUUAUCUCUCACAUUUCCCUUUUCCAGACUUUUUGCCAAAUAGACUUGACUAUCUUACCUUUUACCGCCACCCCAACAUACACCCGCACAGUGAUCUGGAAUGAUGCUUGAUUAUAAAGGAUGCAAAAUGGUGGCUCUUCUGCUAACAUAGUUACAACUUCUGAACCAUCUUCAAGGGAAGUCCCACUGAGAGGUUACCAUGGCAUGGAUCAUGGUUGCCAAUUCCUUCUCCAGGAAGUUCUAUAGUUUGCGAAACAGCUGGUGCUGGAAAUAGGCAUGCCUUGCCAAUGGGACCACUUGGACGUCAAGUGAUGGAGACAGAUCAAUGAGUAUCCCAAAGUGUUGAUAUCCUCUUUACCCUCUAUGACUUGGAGGCAAAGGUCUGAAGUGGGGAGCCUCCUCUACUAAUGGAGUUUCCCUAUGUGAUUUAUAACCCUGGAAAUCGGGGGUUCUAAAUCAUGCCAGGCAGGGAACAUCUACAAAUAGAGGAGGCUUCCUGCUUCAUAUUUCCUGCUCCAACUCAUGGAGACAGACAAGUAUAAUGAUACCGGGGUGUAGCCUUUACUCAUGAGCAGCACACCCCCAACAAGAUUUAUGUUAAAAUGAAGGAACUGGAUUAACAUCCCAAAAUUUGCUUUGUUGGUAACUCUGACAUUUUUGGACAGGUUUAAAGUAAUAAAAGGUGCACUUUAUGCUUGUCUAAACAAAUCCAAUCCAAAUAACUGAAGCGAUAAACCUGAAACAUCCAUUUGGGGGUGUGGGGAAGAGCAAUGUUGAUCUUUUAAACUUAGCUACAGGCCUGUGUACAAAUGCAAUACAACCAAAAUCAAAAGACUUAUGUUUCUUCCUAAAUGUCAUUGACACCAUGCUGAAUUUCACAAAGCACAUCACUUCUCUUAUUAUUAGUCUUGCAUAAGCUACACAUUUGAAAAUCUUCCUUUCUUUAAUUGUUUCUGUAUUAACUUAAUGCUCUUUGCUGUUCAUGGGGGCGGGGUAAUCUGUAGGCCACAAUCUGUUUGUUUUAUUCCAUAGUGUAUAUUUUGCUUCAGGUGAAAUCAGCAGAUGGUUAUUUCAAACAUUCCUGUUUGAUUUACUGUAUUUGGUAGUAAUUAACUUUGCACUCUUUGUCAAAUGUCACAAAGAAAAGGACAUCUUAGCAAUAUUUUCUGUGAAGGUUUGCAAAAAAAAAAGUACUUUUGUGUAGCUCCGUUUUGGUUCUGAAUAGUUGUAGAUGAAGAUUUCUCUUUCUGGGCUAAUUCAUUGUCACAAAGAUGUUACUCUCUAUGUAAGAGACAGUUAAAACAUAACUAGGAAGAAGCAGAAACAGGUGGGGAAAAGAAGGACAAUAGUUUGACUUGUGGGGUUUUCUUUUGUUUCUUUUGUUUCCUCACCCUGAGCACAAGUUAUUGUGUGUGUAUCUGUUGGUUGAAGGUGGGGAAUCUGAUUCCCGGGGACCAAAUGUCGUUCUCCAACCCCUUUCUACCUGGCCACAACCACUUUCCCCAUGCCAUCCCCUCACUAGCCUUCUUUCAUAUCCUCCUGUCAUAUUUUUGGUCAGGCUAGAAUGUGUCAUUAAACUCCAAUGAAGUUGCUUUCUUCAGUGGAGGAUAAAGAGGGUUGGUGUAGAAAUGAGCCUACGGUAUGCAAAAGUAAUAUUUGCAUUAGUUGCUUCACCCACCCCACCCACCACUGUGGGAUAUUGCCCCCAGAUGGUUCCCCAAAUCAUAAUCCAGCUGUCAAUCUGAAAAAGGUUCCCUUCCCCUGCUCUGGAACUUUCUUCUAUUGGUCUUUACCCAAAGACCAAUAGGCAUUGUAGAAUGAUGCUCAGAACACCAAUUAGAUUAGUCCCUAUUAAUGCUCUGCUCAGUAAAUACCAGCGUCAUUCAUUUUUAGUGCUGUUGACUUCCAGAGGUGCUGCCUUCUACAGUAACUGUUACCACGGUUUCUGCUAGCAGCCGAGACCCCUUAUGCUGUGACCUUCACAGGGGUCUGAGGCCUAAUCUAUCCCAAUACAGUUUUUCUUCAUGUUUCAUUUCAUGCUGGGGUAUCUAUUCACAAUCCAAAACUUGUUAUAAUUCAUAACUCUAAACACAUAAUAAUUUUACAUUAAAAUAGUGCUAAAAUGCACUCCCCUCACCACAGGGUCAUUACCUCCUAGUGGUGCAGCAAUAAAACCUGCUAGCAGCUUUGUAAAGCAAAGCAAGGUCUGGUAUGGUUUGAAAUUGUAUGGGGGAGGUUGAAAUUGUAUGUAUGUUGAGAUGUGUUCCUGCAUUGCAGGGGUUAGACUAGAUCAUGGGUAGGCAAACUAAGGCCCAGGGGCCAGAUCCAACCCAAUCGCUUUCUAAAUCUGGCCCAUGGAUGGUCCGGGAAUCAGCUUGUUUUUACAUUAGUAGAAUGUGUGCUUUUAUUUAAAAUGCAUCUCUGGGUUAUUUGUGGGGCAUUGGAAUUUGUUCACCCCCCAAAAUAUAUAUAUAUAUAGUCAGGCCCCCCACAAGUUCUGAGGGACAGUGUACCGGCCCCCUGUUGAAAAAGUUGGCUGACCUCUGGACUAGAUGAUGCCUGGGGUCCCUUCCAACUCUACAAUUUAAUGAUUAUAGGAUUUAAAACUGUGCUUCCCCCACCUGCAAUUCGGUGUGAUACAUCCCAGCAUACUACCUCUAAGAGUUCAUUCUGCUGCAUGUAUAGAUCAGGUCACAGACUGUGCCAUUUGUGGGCAGCAGCUCACCAUGCAAACUAGAAGAUAUUACUACUACAGCUACUACAACAAAUGUGUAUUUUUAUAACUAGGAUGACUAUACCUAAGUUUGCAUCAAAUGCCUCAUUAAAACAGCUUUACAUUCAGUUGCAUUUGGUUGUGCUACAGUGAGAUGGAGAGGAAACACCCCUUUCUCUUGUUUGGAACUGGCACUGCUAAUGUUUGCUUUUGUACCUUCUUAAUACUUACUUGACAUGUACACAUAUUUUUUAAUGAGCAGAUAGUGACAAACAUUACAUAAAUAUCCAGCAAUUUCCUCCAUAAAGAAAACUGAAUACCUGACUGCCUUGAAUAUUUCUAAACUCUACUUGAUAUUCUUGCUGAGUUUUUUUCUGUCCUUGCUCAGAUGAUUCAGAGACUGUAAUAUGCAUAUCCUCUCCAGAAAGAUGUGCUCACUGAAUCCGAGCUGCCAUUCAUUUGUAUCUUCUCCCCUUUUUCCCUACAUUUUUUCCCUUUCCAAAGCUCCAGGCAUGAUCAUGUUUGUGGUAGAAACCUGGUCUCAGUUGGAGAACUGGAAACUGCAAUUAAAGCAACAAAUAUCCACCAUCACAAUCCGUGAUCAGCUGGAAACACAACAUGCAAAAGGCUCUGCCCUAGGGCAGUAACACUGUUUUCAUAAUGCAAAUCUGGCAGAGAUGGGUAAGAAAAUCUGAUCCAGAUUGCCAGUGAUGUUUCAGAGAUUUAAAUAAAAGUAACACCAUGCUUAGCACUGGAACAUGUUUGUGUUAAGAAAAAAAAAACAAAGGAAACAAUUACCUUUUAGUAAUCUUUUAGCGUUUUUAAGUCAGUAUAAAAAUUACCCAAAACAUUAUUUUUUCUUCAUCUGCCUUUAUAAUGACCAACAAUAGUGAAUUUUCAAUAAGGGUGUUUCAAAUGAUUCUGAAAAAAUAAUAAUGUGACUGUUGCUCUGGACAAGUUCAGAAAAUCUGCAAGGGGGAAAAACAAAUGCAGCACAUCCCAUAUCAUAGUAUUUCCACAUGUUAGAUCCACAGUUUAGUAAUCCAAACUAUAGGAAUACAGCUGGAGUAAAUUAUGGCAAUGUAAUUUACCACUAUUCCAAACUCGGUUCAGGAGGGGGGUUACUACCACAUAAGCAAGCCCAAGCCUAGCAGAGAAAGAAGAAGCAUUUAAAAUAGAGUUUGAUUUGCACCAGCCUUUUUGCUAGUGUAAUGUCCAGUGGGUCGUGUGUGACUGAGCAGAAUAGAGUUUGGAAAAGGGAUAGGUUCCCCUCUCUUCCGACUCCAGAAACCCUUUCUGCAGGACAUAUACCAGCCUCAUCUUGGUUGGCUCUGGCUGAGCUGCAAAGGAGGACUUGCACCACAGUAUCUACUCCCUCCCUCCCUCCCUCCCUCUCUCUCCCUCUCUCCUGGAACCCACGGUCAGUCAAUAAAGCUGAAUGGUAGAAGAUUUAGCACACAUAAAAUGUAGUCCUUCUUCACUUAGUGCAUAUUUAAACUGUAGAGUUCACUUCCUCACUAUGUGGUGACAGUCCCAAAAUUGAAGGAAAAUCAGGCAAGUUCAUGGACAAGAAUGCUACCAGUGGCUACUAGUCUUAACUGCUGUAUACUACCUCCUGGAUCAGAGGCACAUUUUUGUUUUUGUUGGCAUCUGUCCAUCUCAAGAGACAAUGGAGUGCCCCUCUAGGGAUGAAGUCAAACUGCUGUGUUGGCAGCACCAAAAUGACAUCCCCAGGACGCAAACCUGGGCAGUGUGUAUGGAGGUCCUGGGCUGACCAGAUAACAAGACAUUUCUCUUGGCUUAACUGAUGUAGACUAAAUGAAAGCAGUGCAAUACAUUAGACACCAGCUGGGCUGCAGGAAUUACCGAAAGGAGACAUACAAGGCGCCAUCCAACCAUCUUAGGGACUCCACUCUGGAUUUUUUGUAGGAUUUACUCCUUAGCCCUUUCUUCUCCCAAAGAUAUCCCACAGGGCAGUGGAAGUUUAGGGUCAAAAUUUUCCUUCUCCUAGAUGAGCUAGCUUUCCAGGUUUACAAGCCCUACCUGCUCCUCACUUCCCUCUAGAGCACAUGCAGAAACUGCCUUCUUGACUAUUGGACCCAGUAUUGGUCUUGUCCGCUUAAUUUGCCUGUCUUCGCAUGCAGGGGGAGUCCCUAACUCACUGGUUUACCCUCACCUAAUAUACUCACCCGUGACCCUCACCUAAUUUAGCCACCCAAUCAAAGCCACUGUCCUAUGCUUAGAUCUAGGAGUUACAAGUGAGAGCUGAGUGCAGGGUGGAGGACCAAAGGUGGACAGACUAUCCCAGAAGGAGCAUGACGUGUCCCCUCAGAGGUACUACCCCUCCCCUAAUACACCUGACAUCCCAUUAAAGGUACCAUUCCACUGAAUAUCAGUUACUGGAGAACAGCAGCAAGAGAGAGAUGCUAUCCUCAUGCCCUGCUUAUGAACAUCUGACAUGUCAUCUGGUUGGCUACUAGGGAAUCAGGAAUUUGGCCUACAAAACUCUCUAAUAUGAUCCAGCAGCACUAUUGUUUAUGUACUGUACUUAGGAUUGGUGCUGUUAACCCUGUAAAUAAAUGUCCAUUCAAUAGGAAGAGAGGACUAAAGGCAUAACAAUAUUAUCUUACACAUUAAGACUUGGUACCAAUGAAACAUGUAUAGGAUUUUAGUGUUGAGUAAUGAUCUAGCCAGGUUAAGCACUUUUAAGGUCCAUUCAACUCACUACAAUGUGAGAAAUGUAUGCAUAUGCCUAAUCUUCCCCCAUUAAAUUCAAUGAGAUGUAAAAAUUCUGAAUUUGAGCUCAAUUGUGCCUCAAACAGUUCAUUCCCUUUACAAUAAAUUAUUCAUGGGUAGAAAAAUGAAACUGUGUUUUUUGUGAGGUUUAUUUUUAUCUUUAGCAAACAAACCUUCAAUUAAUUCUUCAUCUUCAAGGCUGUGAAGGCUUGACAAUGGCAUUAGGGGAUUAUUUUUUAUUAACCUCCAUUAAUUUGGUAUUCCAUAAACUUCUGAGAACAUGGGAAUGCUAGAAAGGAAGCACAAAAUGGAAGUUCAAACUGCAGUAGGGGAAAGUGAGGGCCAUAUGCCUCUCUCACACUUUUUGCAUGCCUUGAAAAGCAGCCAGUCAUUCUCAGUGGCAAAAUAAGAUGGAAAUCCUGGAACUCACAGAGCAGUUCUCUAACCAUCCCAGCAGUAGACAUGAGUCAGGCACAUUAGGGAAUAUAAUGGGGACUUCCUAUCCCAAGACCCAGUCAUAGAUGUCUGUAGCACAAAGCCUAGCUUUAUAUGCACAGGGUCCCAGCUUUAAAUCAAGGGUAUAAAUGCCCACUAGACAUGGUUCUGGGCUGAGCCAAUCAAGAGGAGCACCACAUGGACAAAUAGCCUGGUUCCUUCAUGGGCUAACCAACCCUUUUGGACCACCUUUUUCUUGGCAACUCUUGUGAUCAAUCAUUCCUGCUAUUUGGCCUAAUAAACAUGUUAAAGAUAUAAAAGUAUAUAAAGAUAUAAUAUCCAUAAAAUGAUAUGGUUUGAGUGCAUUGCAUUUAAAAUGCUAUGAAGAAAAGUUCUCAUUAGGAAGGAGGUUUCAUUCUGGCAAAAGCGGCAAGGAAAGGUUGGGCAUUUUUCCAUUUCAGUCUUUAGACUAAUUGAUGACUCGUCACCAGAAACCCAAGCUACAGAUCUCUCACAGCAGGAAGGUGAAACCUGAGAAUUCAGUCUCUUUGCCAUGGAUGGAGCCAGCAGCAACAGUAGUAGUAGCAAGUAAGCAUGAUGAUGAUACAAGCGAGUUGCUUAGGAUCUCUCUUUGGGACCAGAGAAAGGAAAGUACCGUAUUUUUCUCUCCAUAGGGCGCACUGGCCCAUAGGACGCACCUAGUUUUUUUUGGGGGGGGGAAUAAAGAAGAAAAAAAUUAUUUCCCCCCCAGGCGCAGGGCUGGGGCAGAGGAAGCCCGAGCUUCCCCCGACCCCAACCCCCAGAACAGGCUGCUAUCCGCAAGCCUAGGGAGCCCGGUGUGAAGUCGCGCCGGUCUCCCCGGGCUUGCGGAUAUCUUCCCGAAGCCCAGGGCGCGUGGCUCAGUGCGCCCCAGGCUUCGGGAUGCAGGCAGCUCCCACCGCCAGCCUCCAAACCAGGUCAGGGAACAGCGGGAAGGCGCGCUCCGCCUCCCCGCUGUCCCCCAAGCUUGUGGGGCUAGCGGUGGGGAGAAGCGCUGCAUUCCCCACCGCCAGCCUCCAAACCAGGUCAGGGAACAGCGGGAAGGCGCGCUCCGCCUCCCCGCUGUCCCCCGAGCUUGUGGGGCUGGCGGUGGGGAGAAGCGCUGCUUUCCCCACCGCCAGCCUCCAAGCCAGGUCAGGUUUGGAGGCUGCUAUCCGCAAGCCUUGGGAGCCCGAUGGGAACUCCCGCAGAGCUCCCAAGGCUUGCGGAUAGCUUCCUGAAGCCUGGAGAGCGAGAGGGGUCGGUGCGCACCGACCCCUCUCGCUCUCCAGGCUUCAGCGAAAGCCUGCAUUCGCCCCAUAGGAUGCACACACAUUUCCCCUUCAUUUUUGGAGGGGAAAAAGUGCGUCCUAUAGGGCGAAAAAUAUGGUAUAUUGAACUGCAUUAAGGAAUAAAAACGAAGAUGGGGCUACAUCUUGUAAUGUUUAUUUGUACAGAUUUAACACAGUAAAGCUUUGUGGUGGAGAACAUUCAUUUCUACUCUGCACACGGUCCUAAUCACGGAUUCCAUUGCAAUGACUCUAACAUGCCAGGGAGCAUCACAAAAGUACUCAUUGCCACUUCCUCAUCAUUCCUUCCCCCCAACAGUCUUGCCCUCAGGGAAACUGAAGCCAAAUUAAAUUGCGGGGGGAGGGGGGAGCAUCUCUAUCUACAACUCCAUGUAACCAUGAUCAGCAUUUUGAGAUGGAGUAGCUCCUGAAAAUGUUACAUGCAUGGGGUUGUAAACUUCACACCCCACCAGGGCUCCUUUGGCUUGGACAGUUGUUCUAUAGGCAGCAGGGUAGCAUCUGUUGCAUGUCAUGAAUAAUAAUAAUAAUAAUAAUAAUAAUAAUAAUAAUAAUUUAUUAUUUAUACACCGCCCAUCUGGCUGGGCUUCCCCAGCCACUCUGGGCGGCUUCCCAAAAAAUAUUAAAAUACUAUAAUACAACAUUAAAAGCUUCCCUAAACAGGGCUGCCUUCAGAUGUUUUCUAAAAGUCUGGUAGUUGUUGUUCUCUUUGACAUCUGAUGGGAGGGUGUUCCACAGGGAGGGCGCCGCUACCGAGAAGGCCCUCUGCCUGGUUCCCUGUAACUUGGCUUCUCGCAGUGAGGGAACCGCCAGAAGGCCCUCGGUGCUGGACCUCAGUGUCCGGGUAGAAUGAUGGGGGUAGAGAUGCUCCUUCAGAUAUACUGAAUCAUGCGUGGAAAUGGGUCUAGGUCAAUAGGGGAACCACCAGCAGUAGCCUAGUCACAGCUCCUGAUCGUAGGGUAGGCUGCGCAUAUAUCUGAUGGAUAGUACAGCAGCCUGUGGAGUAUGAGACCCACAGAGAGAGUGAUGAGCCUAUAGUCCCUGAACUUGGUCCCAUUCCCUCCAGUGAAUACUCCUCUGUGAUCUGUGCACUUGGUAGAAGAUAGAUGGCAUGCUAAGUUUUUAACAUAAUCCAUCCAUACGCAUACAGCACAAACACAUAUUUGUUUCCAUGCACAACUUUUGAUUGCUAUUAUUUUAAUGUAUCAGCUAUCUUUUGGUUUCAAACCAUGCUAGCUUUUAAUUCUGAGCAACUAUUUUCAUCUUCAGUGUUGCCAGCAGGAGAUGAAUAGCAUUUAGGUGUUGCAGUAAACUCACAGUCAAAUGACAUAGCAUAAACUGACAAUAGCAUUCAAAUUGCCUAGCUGGCUGGAAUGUUGCAACUUGCCUAAAUCACUUCCUUAAUUCUUCUUAAUGGCCCAUCUAAAAAUCUAUUGCAAAGCAACUGAACUAUUCAGCGUCAAACUUCAUUAAACAAAUACGCUAAAAAAUUAAGCAAUGACAAAAGUUCUCAGUGACGUUCUCAAAGGGAUACUAAGCUUAACACAUAAAUUGCUAAUCUACCAAGCAGAAGAAAAACAUCUGUCCGUAUGGAAGUUACUCCUUGUUAGUCAGUAGGUCAUAUUUUCAGGUUCAAUUAAGUGGAUGAAGCAGAAGACAAUGCUGUCAAUUUUAAACAAAACACAGCUUGUUACAUUGUCAGCCAUUGGCAGGGUCUCAUUAUAGCUUUUGUUUAUUUUCCUUGUACAGUACCUAGCACAAAAUUCAAUUCUGUAAUAAUAACCAAGUCAAAGUGCAAACCUAAUAUAAUAUGGCCCACAUAAUUUGUUUCACUACAUGAGCAGCACAGGGAAAGAUGUUCAGCUUUGACAAUUACAAUGCUUUCAUUAUUUCAGGUGUGUUGCUGAGAAGGUUCGUAAUGCAGCCAGGAAAUUAUUUUAAAAUGAUCAAAGCUAUGAUCAGAUAUAUCUGUUGCGGAUCUGUGUGUGUCAAUUUGCACUAUUGUUUUGUGUUCUGGUCAUGCUAAUCCAUAAUCUGUUGUUAGUGUACACAUAUUUCCACACUUUAUAGCAUAAGGAGUUGACUGAGAAAAAUAUUCUUUAUUCUCAGAAUAUUGUGCAAGGUUUCUAAAAAGCCCAAGAGAUCUUGAUAAAUAAUAACUGGGUUAGGAGAACAGACCAUCUGUUAUUUUGGGUUAUCAAAGAAUGGAAUUCAGAUGAGACUCUCAUUUUUGCUCAAUAAUAGUUUAAAGUUAGCAUUGCGUUGGGGGGGAGUGGCUUGAGAGAGCAGUAAAAUUCAUAGACUUACCUCUUAAUGAAGUGUGAAUGAUGACAUUUGUAACAAGAUUUUUUAAAAACAAACAAAACAUAUUUAUAUCACAUUUGAAUAAUGGCACUGAUAAGAAAAACUUUGCAUCUAUGAAGAGAGUUCUGUUGCAUUUUUAGCCUCUGCACCCUGAACAGUGUCAUGCUUGAGCAAACAUUCAAUCCAAGCACUUUCAGAGCCCUUGUCUACUAGCAAGGACUAUUUAUCAACUGUUAUUUCCAACAACAGAUUCAUCCCAUGGAUGCCCAAGGCUGGAAUCUGGGGGUCAUCACAUGCAACUGGUUAGCAGCAGAUUCAGCACAGACAAGAAGAGGUAUCCUCCUUCAUACAGCACAUAGUUAAUUUAUAGAAUAUGCUGCUAUAAGAUGUGGUGAUGGUUACUAGCUUCAAUGGCUUAAAGGGGGAUUAAAAUUCAUGCUAUACACUGAGUUGAUGAGCCCACCUGUGCCAGGAACUGACCAGACCCAGACCUGCUGAACUUUAGCUAAGCUGCUGCAUUUUACACCUUCAGACCAUUCUCUGGGGCCAGUGUGUUCUCUCCCACUGUUGACUGUAGCAAAAGAAAAGUGCUUGUGGAAUGUACUCCAUCGGCCACAGGCAGCAAUGGCAACAUAGCAUGAGUGGGGUUCUGAUAGCAUCCUUCACUACGUCAUCUUUGUUUUGCAAACAAAAUAAAUAAAUCACUCCCCCCCCCCCCAUUUUGGCUUUGCUUAGUAUAACAAAGUUCAAUGUGUGCAUUUCUUUAGACAGUCCAGUUACAAAUUCCACUCAGUAAAUUACAUUAUUCUUCCCAUGAUUAGGUGGUGCCAUGUUUAAUGUUGUCUGUUAACUAUUCCAUUACUGGAUACUUGGAAGUGAUCAUCAUAUAGACAAUGCCUGUUGCAACAUUUAAAAAGUCUCAUUGAAGUUCUGCAAAAUGGAAAGAUUGUUUUGUUUCCAGUUAAACAAGAUAAUUCUAUUGAGAGAAAUAAGUAAUAACGUGUUACAAAAUGAGACCUCUCAUGGCCUAAAUUAAAAAUAUAAAGGCUGAACGAUGCCUGAGUAUUCUUACAUAACUUGAUGAGGAAGCAGAAUUCUAUACAAUUAAGUAUACAUGCAAUUUAUAAACAACAGCAUAUCUCCUCAUAAAUCUGCAAGUGCAAGAACAUAAGGCCUGAAACUAUUUCAGUACCAGUGUUAAUUGGUCUAAUGUUUACUGCAAUAUUUUUAAAAAUGACCUUUUAAAAAAAUGGUAGAGGUGUUCAGCGCCAUACAUUUUUAUUACACACACUCCAUUAGAACAGAUGGAGUUCUUGCUAUUUCAGAAGUCUCUUUGAUUACGAAUUUCAUUUUGGUAAACUAAGUUAACAAAUCAUCAGGGGAGGGGAUGGAUAAUGUUUAGAGAAAGUGACUGAAUUAUUGGAAAACAGGGGCAUGGGUGAGGAAGAGUCAUGAGCUCAGUUUAUAGCACAGUAAUAUAUCAUAAGGAAGGUACAAUGCUAGGGUGUAAUGCUAUUUAAAAAUAAUAAUAGAGUAAAAUGGAUUAAACUACAUUUGACAAUUUGAAAUGGACGUUCAAAAAAGAAAGAAAGCUUUGUUGCUAAGGAACUAUAAAUAAUUAGGUAAGUUUACUAAACAAAUUUGCUCAAUUUUCAUUCUAUUUACCAAAAAAGGAAGUAUAUAACUACUUUGUAUCAUCAGGUCCUCUUUUCGAAUGACCUUUCUGUUGCUGAAGACAGCUACAACAACACACUGGUGGUUUUUGUUGUUGUUAGAAUCCAUCUAUUUCUGGAGACAAUGGAAGAAUGUGCCUUGGGGGGUAAAGUCAAACCGUUGGAGAGUUACAGCACCUGCUGUGGCUGUAGAGACUGAUAUAGGAGAGACAUGUUUUAUUGCAGGUGGAGCAGAUGAAGGCAUCUGGUUUUGCUAUAUUGGGUGCAUCAUGACAUUUCGUCUCUCUGCGCUCUUCCCAGUGGUCAUUCCUCCUCUGGUCACUACUGUGGAUACACAACCUGACUGUAUUGCACUUAUAUCACUUCAUUUUCCUCCACUUGAAUUUUGUACAUUUGAUGACUGAUAGCAGAAUAUGUGACAUGACUCAUAGUAUUAUGCUAAGAUGAUAUGAAAAUUAUCCAGUUUUGUAUUUGUGGUGCCCCACUCCCACUCACUCCAUCUAAGGGUAAAAUAUAUAUUUUCCAUUUAAGGAAAAUGCCAGCAGGGAGAGAGAACAGCCUUGCAAAAUUGAAUCUUAUGUAUCUAGCUUAAGUAAAACACAAGAAUCGUGAAGUGGAGGGGCAGCUCUUUCAUGACUUAUAGGUCCAGCUUGUAAUAAGAAGAAUUUUCCUUACACCACCUUUUUGCCAGCUUAGUUCUGUCAGGUCAGUAGGUCACAUGAUAGAGCUGAAAGGGUUUGGAAUAUGUGUAAGUCUCUCCUUGCUCUGUCCCAGCACCAGCAUGACCCUGCCACACCUUUAAAACACCCCUUUGGGAGGGACUGGCAUUACCUUGAAUUCCACUGGUUCAGCCAGGGUGAAGAAUUUACAAUUUCUGAGCACCGACUGAGAUGGAAAAGGCCAAGGUUCACCAAAUCCAAACUCUCUCAUCCUGAUGGAUUUUGAGUUUUGAAUGUUUUGUUAGUUCUUAAGGAAGCUAGAAUAGAUACUGCUUUUACUGUGCAUUCCCAUCUACACUUGCACACAAAUGUACAUGUGUAUGCAACUGACAUGUCUGAGUCUUUAGCUAAGGGUCCCUGUGCACCAGGAGGCAGAUUACAUGAGGGGGAGUUAGAAGUCAAAGAAAAUACUGGAGCUUAGAGUAAAAACUAAAUGCAGUUUAUUGGGUGGAAGUUCCUAACCUUGAUAGCUGCUAGUGGCUAAGUACUUAUAAAUAUGUUUGCUGCUGGGGAUAUCAGUGUUUCAGGUAUGCAGUGUCCUCAAUUUGGGCCUUUGAAAUGUCGGAAUAGUGGGCACAACUUGGGCAAUUUGACUGAACUAGAAACCAGGCAUCUGCAUAUUCUGGGGUUAUCAAGCUUCUUUGCAUAAUUGGCAAGAACCACUCCUGAAGUUAAAGGUUGGUCUUUGUCCUGGUUCUCUAAGACAUCACUUAGUUCACAUUCCCUAGUCACAAUGGAGCUUCUUAGGGACAAGAUGUUGGGGCAUAGUUAAAACUGUCCUAAGUGGGAAUCAGGGUGCCUUAUAACCCUUUUUACAAUACUGCUCCUUGUGAUUGAUGUUGGCUCCUCAUCUGAAUUGUUCCAGCCAUGCUCAUGUCUUGUAAAUUUCUUUUCAAUAAAAGAGAGAAAAGGGCUAUUUCCUCACUGGCAACACUUAACUAUCAUCCACUACCGUUUGUUUUCCUUCUAUCCCAUCCUUAUUGUCAACCCCUGACUGCUGCUGAGAGUGACCAUAGCUUACCAGUAUUGUGUGUGCUUUGCAUACAGAAGAUUCUAUGUUCCCUCCUGGAGCCUAAUUUAAAAGGUUCAGGGAAACCUUUGCUGGCAUUCCUGGAAAACUCCUGCCAGUCAGAGUAUAUUAUACUAGGCUAAAUUGACAAAUAAUUUGAUCCACUAUAAGCCAGCCUCUUAUGUUCCUCUUCUCCACCUAAUAUACAUUGUAAAGGCUCUGGUUUGACAUCUGUGUUCUUUAAAGUGCCUAGCAUCCUGUUGAAACUCAACAAAUAUUAAAUAUUAUUUGUCCUGUUAAAUAAUCAGCUGUAAUUACUUUACAGUUGUAGUCUGCAGGAUUUGCCAGAAGAAGCUUGGAUCAGAGUCACAUUAGGCUUAUUAAAAUGUAAAGGUUCUACAGCAAAGAUAUUAACAUUAUGUAUGGAAGGAAUUAGUGGCUAGACUUCAUUUAUUGUAGUUAGUUGGGUGUUGGCUGGAAGAGCUGCGGGUGUUAAUUUUAUCUUAAUGCAUGUGAAAUGUUUUGGAUAACCACCAGCAGCUACUAAUAGCUGAAACCAUAAUGCUGUGAACAUUUCUCACAGCCGCACCCUUUUGAAAAUAUUAGUAAAGAACUUGGUGAAAUCGUUGAAGUAUGUGGGAGUUUCCAGUUUGUUGUCAUCCAAGGAAUGAAGGCUCCUUCAUGUUAGCUGCCAUGAGACUGUAUUUAACAAUACGGUUCUCUAUCACUAAUAUAAAGAGAGAAUUUUCAAUGAAGCCAGUGCAGAUUCUAACUGGAGAGGAAGUGGUAUCUAUGAUGGUUUGUUUUAUCAUUCUGGUGGAAUAAUUCUAUGAUGCUAAAUUCUUUGACAGUGCAAUUUUAUUAUGGGCAGCUGGUGUAAAUGGCCAUACCUUCAUGCCCAUUUACUGCAGCUGAGGACCUCAUCCGGCAUGUUAUGCACAUUAGGAGGGAAAGAUUUGCAAUUCCAUUCCUGAAUAUUGCUAGUUAUUUGAAAACUCUUUUUAAAAGUGUAUGUUUUAUAGCAUAUAUUUUCUCCUUUGACUCAAAAUUGCUGCACUGAUCAUUCUUCACUAUUUCUGCCUAUCCUGUUGACACACUAUUAAGGAUACACCCAUCCAUCAUACAGAGAUACACCCAAGCACUUCUCAUGUGGUAUGUCUGGUGCUUUAGUACUAAACCCAGAGUAUGAAAAUACACUCCCUAAGGAAAAAUAAGGUACCCUGUUAAGUAGUUUUGUGCAACAUAUUCCCUGAAUAUAUUAAUUCCUGAAGGGUAAAGUGUGCUGUUGUAGCCAAAACAUCAACAGAAUCCUAUGGCACCUUUAAGAUCAACAAAUUCAUGCACUACUAAAUAAAAAGAUUAGUGAGAACAUUGCAUCUAAAAGGAUGGGAAGAAAACCAGUUUUACCCAGUAGGACUGAAAAACAAAGCGGAAGAGUCAGCAAUGCAUGUUUCCUCACAAUCCUAUACAGUCUCAAGAUAAACGGGAGAGUCAAGAGUAGACCUGUUCCACUCCUACAAUAAUCAGAUAAUACAGUUUACCCCCCCACUAAUAACUAUACUAGAGGUACAAUUUGGAUUUGGAUGAAUUCCGCAUCCUGAGCCAAAGCAAGAUACUUUGCAGAUAUUUUAUCAGAAGCAAAUUGGAAUCUGCACAAGUACAAGGAAGGGCCCUUGAACUGUUUCGUGGCACCUUGACAGACCAGACUUUUAAAAAAUAAAGUGGAAGUAACUGUCUGCUGAAAAUGAAAGUAAUAUCUCUAAGCUUACCAUAAAGUUGGGAAGGGAUGAAGCAAACACCAGAAUGGGAAGGGGGCAUGGAGAAAGAGCUCCAUUGUAAGUCUAAUUUGUAAUCAGAGAGAAAGAUAUUACCAGCACUCUCUAGCACUGAUCUAAAAUGGCCAACUUCCAGAACUCUUAGAAUAAGUAGAACAGAUAUUUGGUGAAUUCUUGAUAUUUCAAUCAUAAGAAAGAUAUACAAAUCACCUGGAAACUUUCUACUUAUUAAUAGCACAUAAUGCACUUUUUUCCCUUUGAGAUGCCAGCCUGUAUUCUCAGUACAACACCCCCUUAAAGUGUUUGCUCCUCCUUCACUCCAUUGCUGUUUUGUAGCAUUCCAAUGAGAACAUCAUCCAUCUAGAAUGUCCAUGCCAGAUCUUGUAUGGCAAGAUAAGCACAAUCAGAUUUAUUGCUUAGGCAUAAUGACUGUCAUAAAGCAACAUUUUAUUUAUGCAAGAUAAAGUGUGGUGAAACAUGCAGUUGGGUUUGAUUUCAAUAGAACAGUCAAGAUUUUCAGGAAGCACGAGUGUGCUGUUGUGAUGUCAUUGAUAAAUACCAGUAGAUAGAUUAAUGUCACUUUGAAGCUACAUUUUGCAAGUGCUGAUGUUGAGGAGAAACAGCUUCCUACAUUCGGAAGUUUAAUAAAGUUGUGGCCUAAUUUUAAUUCCAUAUACGUUGUCAGAGUCUUUAUUCCUUCCUUAUGAUCCCUGGGGGCUGGGGCUGUCACCGCCUGGUCACGCAAAAGUAUUUCUACAGAGCAGCAAAGAAAACACAAGCUUAGCUGCCAGAUGUCCUUAUAGGCAAAAACUAUAUUCAUGAAUACCUAGAAUGAACUAAGACUGCUUGAGCUGUGCUUGCAUCAUGAACAUGUUGUUUUCUAUGACAAAACUCCCAGUGUCCUGGAGACAUCCAAGGUCAGACCACUGGCACUAGCUGGACUUGAUUGUCACCAGGCAAUCAGCACUUAACUGUAUUUGUGUCACAUGGACCUACCACAGCGCCAUCUGCAACACACAUCACUCCCUGGUGGCAAGAAAGAGCCAUCUCCAGUCAGAGAGGAUGCAUAGCAAAUAGCAGAAAGUACAGACUUGAAUCAACACUGUGACAACUGCCAUACAUGAACUCUGUUAAUGCUCCUCUGAUUCUGCCAAACAAGCCCUACUGAGCUGCCUCAGAUAUAGCGUCAAUGUAAGGUUCAACCUCAAAAAAGAGGGAAUCUACAACACAGCUAUGUCCGCCUUUGGCCAAAAAGACCAGCAGAUCCCUGAGUGGUUUGAGGCUGGAAAAAGAACAUUGAUGCAAAGCGCAAGGCUCUUGUGAACUACAAGCAUGCACCCUGCAAAAAUAAAUUUGCUACACUGAGAAAGGCAAGGAGUGAUGCCCAGUGGGUUGUCAGAUGAUGUGCCAAUGACUACUAGCUAAAGCUGUGUGAGAACACUCAACUCGCUGCUGAUGCUGGCAAUACUCACAAAAUGUACAAAGGCAUGAAGAAAGCCUUUGGACCAACAGUCAGAAAAACUGCACCCCUGAAAACAUGAAAGCUGGCUUCAAUUCCUUUCUCAUGACAUGCCUCCAUAGCCUACUCUUGUUGUGUUGGGAAGAAGGAUCUCUGCCACAAGACAUGCACAACUCCAGCAUUGUGACCCUCUGCAAGAACAAAGGUAACUGCCAUGAUUGUAACAACUACUGUGGAAUCUCCCUGCUGAGUACUGUGGGUAAAGCCUUUGCCCAUGUAUUUUUCAAGAGAUUACAGUUGCUCACUGACAGGAUCUAUCCUGAGUCACAGUGCAGCUUUAGAUCUCAGAGGUCAACAGUCUACAUGAUUUUCUUGCUGCAUCAGCUGCAGGAGAAAUGCCAACAGCAGAGCUGUCCCUUUUACAUCGCCUUCAUAGACCUGAUGAAGUACUUUGACCUCAUCAGCCAUAAAGGACCUUCACUUCUCAACAAGACAGGAUGCCCAGCUAAACUUCACAAUAUUAUUGUGUCCUUCCACAAGAACAUGUGUGGCACCAUCCAGUAGGUCAGCUCAUCCUCUAAAACCUUGGCUAUAAAGGUGUGGAACAGGGCUGGGUUCUUGUCCCAGCUCUCUUUGGCAUAUUCUUUUCCCUGCUGCUCUCAUAUGCCUUCAGCUCAACUGAAGGCGGUGUGUCCAUCCAUUCAAGGAGUGACGGGGGUCAGUUCAACCUGGCAUGUCUCCGUGUCAAAACAAAAGUGAGAGAUGCAGAUAGAACCCGCUCAUUUUAGUAGAUGUAAACUAUUGUUCUACCAGAGAAGUGAGACUUGUGAAAGCAGAUGCUGCAGCAGAGGUUGCACAAGUUUGCAGCAAUUUGAAUUAAAUCUCUGGAGGAGGGUUUCUACACUCUGGUACAUCAAGGCUCUGUUCCUUUCCCCCCACUCCUUUGUUGAGCAUAUGCUCUUUUUGCCUGGGGCUUAUUGUCAGUACUGUCACCAGGGGAAUGGAAUUCUGCUGUAUGGCUAGGUAACAAAUACUGGAUUAUCUCCAGAAGUAUUUAAAGCGUGGAGAAGUCUUUAGGGAGGCCAGAUACAAUAAUGGUCACAAUCCUUGUGAAACAUUUUCCUACCAUACUUAGAUGCCACAACUAUUUUAACCAUGGCUGGAUUGAAACAUCUGGAGGCCCAUACAAUAUCUUGUAAUAUAACAAGACAUGGUAUAGUGUUUCCCUUUUCACAUGACUCAGAGCAGCAAUCAGUUGAUGGGAAUUCAAAAUGUUGAUGGAAUACCCUUUUGUAUGGCUGCUAUUCAGAUUAGACUGUGCUCUGAGCUAUGAAGAGCUUUGAGAAUAGUUGUGUGGCCAAGCUCCCUCUAUGCAGACAUGCCCUCCGAUAAUUUCACUACAGCCAGGGACACUGCAAAUCUGGGGAGAUAAAUCUUUAAAACAUACUUAGGCUGCCUGUCUCUUACUUAAGUAGCAUUUUUCAUUUUGGGGAUUGUAUCCAGUGUUAGCCAUACACAGAGCAGACCCAUUGAAACUCAUGACUAACAAGUAAAUUGAUUUCAUUGGGGCUGAGUAGAACUUCAGAGGCAGUAUGGUUCUGAAUACCAAUUAUUGGGAAUCACUGGUAGGGAGAUUUCUGUUGCAGUCAGGUCUUGCUUUUGGGCUUUCCAUAGGCAGCUAGUUGGCAACUAUGAGACUGUGAUGCUGGACAAAAUGAGCCAUUGGCCUGACCCAGCAGGUCCUAUUUAUGUUCUUAAUUUAGUUGGAUACAACCCUUACAUUCUUAAUUUAGUUAGAUACAAAUUUAUCUUUUCUCAAUGAAUAUUGUUCCAGAAAAAUAUUGACAUGCACAAAGAUAUCUAAGUGCCCUGUGAAACCCCAUUCAGUUCCCCAGAUCACCUUGAUGCUUGUGCUCUGCUUGAGAUAUGUUUUUGUAGAGGAAGGAUGAACCGAGCCUUUUUCAUCCAUUCACUUUUAAUGGUAAAGGUAAUUUUCUCAGGUGGUCACCAAGUAGCUGCAAUUACAGCUUCUUGUGCUGGAGAAAUUUUUCUAAGACACUAAUGGUAAAAGACAUGGGAAGAGCAAUAGAAACUCAGCAUGCUUCUCAAACUGGCUACUAGGUACACAGUAGCAGACCUAGAAAUAUGAAGUCUAUGCCAAUUCCCCCCACCCCCUUUUGCAAUAUAAAACUGCUGACUGGGGUUAUAGGAAAAAUGUGAAAGCCUUUCAACCUGUGGACACUGAGAUGACAACCAUUUUCAUCAGAAAAAAAUGAAAAGAAAAGGAUGAAGAAGCACUAGUAUGCCACUUAUGGGUUAGAAGCCAUGCUGUGAAAGAAAUUCCAGUAAGAAAAUCAUUAUACAGCAAUGCACGCAACAUGCCGAUUUGGAAAUCCACAGUGGUGGAAGAUUUUGUAAUUAUUUGAAGCUGGAUUUGUGAAGAGAACCUGAUUCCUUUCCUCUGUCUAUCUUGGAAAGAAGGUAGGACCUAUAAAAAGUAGUGUCUACAUCCAGAGGACAAUCAAGUAAUGAAAAUUAAUCACUCUCAGCCAGCAAUAUUAAAACUCCCCUGACCACACAUUAAAAAACCUUUUCUCCCUCUCUCGUUUAUUUUUUGGUGGGGGAGGGGGCUGGAGGGGGAGUGGUUGUUUUUUUUAAGGAAGUGGGGGAAAGAAAAUACCCAUCAAAAUGGCUGAAGCCUCUCCCCUACCAAGUACCUAAUUCCUUCCUAAGCAAAGUAAAAUGAAAAUUAACUUUGAGUCAAGUGGGGGGGCUGGUGAUGGAGGUAAGUGAUGAUGGGUGGGAGAUCACUAGUAACAAGAGGACCAUGGGAGUUUUAAACCCCCCAUUGGUUUUUGAUGGCUUGUGGUUCUAAAGCCUUCAAGAGUAGGAUAUGGAUCACAUUCAUAUUUUUUUAUUUUAUUUCAUCUAACUCUAGUUUUAUGUCAUUUUCAGACAAAUCCUAUAAUUAUUUACCCAUAAGUAAGUGAAAGCUGGACCAUAAAGAAGGCUGAUCACCGAAGAAUUGAUGCGUUUGAAUUAUGGUGCUGGAGGAGACUCUUGACAGUCCCAUGGACUGCAAGAAGAUGAAACCUAUCCAUUCUUAAGGAAAUCAGCCCUGAGUGCUCACUGGAAGGACAGAUCCUGAAGCUGAGGCUCCAAUACUUUGGCCACCUCAUGAGAAGAGAAGACUCCCUGGAAAAGACCCUGAUGUUGAGAAAGAUGGAGGGCACAAGGAGAAGGGGACGACAGAGGAUGAGAUGGUUGGACGGUGUUCUCGAGGCUACCAACAUGAGUUUGACCAAGCUGUGGGAGGCGGUGAAGGACAGGAGUGCCUGGCGUGCUCUGGUCCAUGGGGUCACGAAAAGUUGGACACGACUAAAUGACAACAAAAGUUCUCCUGUGUUCAGUGGGGCUUAAUCCCUAGAAAUUGUGCUAAGGAUCACAGCUAUCCUAUGCAUGUUUACUGAGUUGUGAGGCUCAUCUUAUUCAACUGAUCCUUAUUCACAGAUAAGUGUGCAGAUGACUGCGUUCAGAUUCUGUCAACUUCGGGUCUUUAGGAAAGGCAAGAAGACCUCAAAUUUACGUAAAACUGUUUUGGUAAAAUAGAUCAAGAAACAAUAUUUUCCAUGAAUAAUUGUACCAUAUAAAAGAAAAGAAACUUCUUACACUUGUCUAUAUUAAUAUGUGUUUCACUGAAGAAAUGACACUUACUUCAGAGAAAAUUUGCAUAGGAUUGUAUAUUGUCAUGUAAGACUUGCACAUGUUUAAGAACAGAACUUUAUUUCCUGAUUUAGUCAACAGUGUGCAUAAGACAACUAAUUUACAGCAGCAAAUAUUGCUUUAGACAAGUGUUCAUUAGCUACCACUAUAAUGUGGACUAUCUCUUCUUUAAAUGUUAAUUUGUUCAUUUACCCUUUUAUGUCUCCUGAGUGGUGUGGCAUCUUUUAAUGGUGUUCACCUGACUUGUCCCAUAUGCUAGCACAGCCAAUAAAAUCCCACUGAAUACCACUGUGUUUACUGAUGAGUAAAAAUGUCAGACUAUGAAAAUAAGAUUUUGGAGCAUGAUUGAUAGAAAAAAAGUUAACAGGAGUUAAUACAGAUUCAGAUGUACACUUAAAAAGUAAAUAUAGCUUCCAGAAUGGUGCUGAUUAAUAACAAAUAUUGACUGAAUGUUUACUUAUUGUGAACUGUUUCCUAGACAGUGCUUGAGAUAUACAGAAAUUCAAACAUAGAUUCCAUAGAUUGAUUUGCAUUGCCCUGCCCACCUCAGAGAUCUGUAGUUUAAGGAUAUAAAUUGCACAACCACAUCAAAAUCUUUAUCCCUGGGGCAGGAAUAACUGGAUGUCAUUUUGUGUCAUUCAACUAUGCAUUAACUGGUAUUUGGGCACAUUUCUCCUUUCUACAUUAAUACAGCAGAUCCCUUGAAAGGGACAUUAGAGAUUUUAGUGCAUGGAAAUUAUUAUGGCAUAUGAUACAAAAUGAAAUCAUCUCUCUAUCACCUGAUCUUCUACAACUCACCUAAUUAUCCUACUUGGCACUAAACUCUCUGAUAAUAUCAAGUGUCAUUCUUAGAAACCUUUAAUAGAAUAAAGAAUUGGUAUCUCUCAUUCUCCCACUUCCAAAAAACGCCCCAUCCACAUCUGGUGCCAUUGUUAAGAUUAGUUUUAUAAAAACUAUUUUCAAUCACUUCUAACUUUUCUCAGCUACAGAAGCAUCACAGGAGCUAAAUAUAUACAUUUGCUAACUGUGAUGGCUUCAGUUUCAAAAGCAAUGAGCACCAAGAAACUCUGCUAAUGUCAACAGGAGCUGAAGACCUUGAUCGUUUGAAAAAUACGGCCAAUAUAUAGCUUCUAAUGCCUGCAGUUUUCAAAUAUGAGCAAGUGUAUUAUCUGUGACUGUCAUUUCCCCAAAGCCUCAACCAUUGUCUUGUUCUGAAGAGAUUAUUGGCACCAUGUUCUAGGUCUGGUGCAGAGAUUGCAACAUGUGAAAGGUACAAAAGCAUAAAUGUUCUGGAGUAUCUAUAGAUUGCCAUCUGUAGACACAGAUUAAAACCUCAAAGUGGUAUUCUACAGUAGUUACAGACACACACCUGUGAGAAAUUUCUUUAUAUGCUUUCUUCAAAGUAAGGACAUCGUUCUUUACAGGCCUACUUUGAAGGCAAAACUUUGCUGAUUUCAUGAGGACUGAGCCUGGUGCUCCAUCAGCGACUUGUAAAAGAUGGAUUGCACAUUUUUAAAAGGACACCCCAAAAUAAGACAGAUUUUUUGUUCUAAUGAGUACAUUGGCACUUACGUUUCUCUAUGGGAAAUAAGAAUUUGAUAUAAAGCAAAUUAAAGGUAUGGAAGAAAGUGAUCUAUAACUGAGACUUCUGUGCUAUGAGGUUUCUGGUCUCAUUUUCUUCCUGCCAUUUAGCAAAAAGAAAAUCAGACAGUUUUAACACAUUCUGAGAUCCCAAACGAAAAUCAAAAGUAGCACAUGCUCCAUUUAAGAAUAUCAUUGUUUGAAAAAUGAUGCUGCAAGGGCAUUCAAUAAAGAAAUCAAUGGCUAUAUUGUGAAAUUUAACCUGCCUAUAUAGGACUUGAAAAAAUUGGUGCUUAGGAUUUUGUGGACCUGUUAACUGAGAGGUUAGAAUCUGUCUAUGUCUUUGAAUACGAUUGCUUGAAUUGGGCUUGCAGAAGGUGCUGUUUCACAACAGAAAGAAGGCUGAAAGCAAACUGAUGUGGUAUGAAGUAUAAUUUCCCUGUAUCUUUAAACAAACAAACAAACAAACAAACAAACCACCACCCUCUUCCUCAACAUACAUAUUUUUCUAUAGAAAUAUGUGUAUAUCGGCCCCAUCAGUUUAGGGAAAAUAUCGUAGCUCAGUAAUAGAACUGCUAAUGUCCCAGGUUUAGUCCCCAUCAUCUCCAGGCAAGGUUGGGAGAAAACCCUUACUGAAAUCCUGGAGAGCCAUUGUUAGUCAGUGUAGACAAUACUGAGCUAGACGGACCAGUAGUCUGAUUUAGUGUGAGACAGCGACCUUUGUUCCUAUGUUUUCCCAUUGGCCAGAAUGGAGUCAAUUAAGGAUACUAGGUCCUAUUAAGAGGUUAAUUUGCCCUGCCUUGAUCACCAUCCAUCUUGUCCUCCUGGUUUCUGAUAAGCCUGUCCUAUGGCAAAUGAAAACUUGAGACAAAAUCCUCUCUUGGGGAAACAGAAAAAUAGUGAGGUCUUUCUAAGUCCCAUUUUAUUGCUUUUUGGAACAAAAGAGCUUUGCUCAUUUGCCUUCUUAUGUGCCUGACAUUUUGAGCUCGGUAGUUUGCCAGCCAUUGGAACCAAUGGAAAACACAGAAGAGUGAAUAUUUUCUGUGAAUUAGGGAUGGGAGAUAAACUCAUUCCAUUCACACUUCCGUUGCAUUCCCUAAACCACUAUUAUGAACCAAAACCCAGUUAUCCUUAUAAAUUUGCACUUCUGUAAAUUUUGUGGUGAAGUUCUCCAAACAAACAACGAAGCUUAUAUAUUCAUGCACACAAAAAUGUGUAUAUUCGUAUAAACUGUACCAAAAAAAUGGGAUUAUGCUAAGGAAAAUUGCUUGCAAAAAUAUGCAUAUUAGAAGAAAUACGCAUUAAAACAAGAACAACAUUUUGCGUGGACUUUUGGGGGGGGGAAAGGUGAUCAUGAACUAAUGCAGAAAUGAGGCAGAUUGAACAUAAGGUUGUAGAAACGGUAAACAGAGAAUAGGGUUGCUGUACAUCAGCCAUACAUUUCCUGAACAUAUCCAGAAUACGGUGUCUUGGCAGAAAUUAGUAAAAAAAAAAAAAAAAAGUCUGGGGAAAUUAAAAAAACUUUGCCCCAAAAUGGUAAACAACAAACUUGCAACUACAGCGCAAGAAUGUUAUUUGCCCCAAAAUGGAAAGAUGAAGAAGUUGCUGGAAACCACAGGAAGGAAGAGUGCUCUGCUGCUUGAAUCCUGCCUGAGAGUUCCCCACAGGCAUUUGGUUGGCCACUGUGAGAACCCAUACAGUGGUACCUCAGGUUAAGUACUUAAUUCGUUCUGGAGGUCCGUUCUUAACCUGAAACUGUUCUUAACCUGAAGCACCACUUUAGCUAAUGGGGCCUCCUGCUGCUGCCGCGCCGCCGGAGCACAAUUUCUGUUCUCAUCCUGAAGCAAAGUUCUUAACCUGAAGCACUAUUUCUGGGUUAGGGGAGUCUGUAACCUGAAGCGUAUGUAACCUGAAGCGUAUGUAACCCGAGGUACCACUGUACAACAUAGGUGACUGGCCUGGUCUAGCAGGCUCUUGUUUACAUUAUUAUGCUCUUAGCGGCAGUGAUACUACACCCAUUAGACACUACCAUUUGGGUCACGGGGCAAUGAGAGCAGGGACGGGGGGGUUAAGGGGGGCUUUGGUUGCCCCCUGCUACUCUGGCACCAUCAUUGGUCCCACAAUACCAAAACUAGUGUCUCACUGGCAGAGCUCACUGCCACUUCUGCACUAAGGUUAGGUACAGUCAUACCUCAUGGUAAUGUCCGCUUCAUGUUGUGUUCUUUCAGGUUAUGUCCCGCAGAGAGCCGGAAGUACCAGAAAUUGUUACUUCCGGGUUUCGCCACUCGCGCAUGCACAGAAGCGCAAAAUGACAUCACCUGCAUGCACAAACGCGGCGAAUCACAACCUGCGCGUGCACAGAUGCAUCGCUGCGGGUUGCGCUCUUUUCAUGUUGUGAACGGGCCUCCAGAACGGAUCCCGUUCACAACCAGGGGUACCACUGUAUUCUUAAAAUGAGUAUGAUGAGCAGCUGGAACCUCAGAGGAGCUGGCUGGCUCAGCAAUUUGCUUUGCAGUGCACACCAGCCAGAAGCUUUGCUCACAUGUUCCAGCUUCCCUACCUGUCACCCAACUAGCCAGCCAUCAAGGGAGAGAGGGAAUAGUUUGGCCACUGUAAAUUACAACAACCACAGAGGUAAAAAAAGAAGAAGUCAAUGAUAGUGGGAAACAAGAAAAGAGUACAAUAGUCUGUCAUCUCAUCCCCCUCAAGCCUAGAAGCACCCCUGAUAAAAAGAAACUGAAAUUGACCAAUUCAGUCAUCCCUACUGUGGAUUUUCUCCUUACAGUCUAUCAGUAAGGCCUCUUUUCUUUGGCAUAGCCAUUUUAAGUUAGGCCUGCGCAAACACAAUAGAUUGUGCCCAGCAUAACACUAGUCAAAACUCAUUAACUUCAACUGAAUUUGUAACAAAAGCUACAUGGAAAAUAAUGUUUUGGGAGUCGCAAUAAUUCUUAGCAGCUACUUAGGUUAGCCACCGUAUAACCACUUCUUUAUGCAAGCAAUUGUGAUAGACAUUAAGGAUAUCUGAUUUUAGAUUUGCUGGUGGUCAUUUACGGGGCAUUCAAAUUUUAAAAAUCAAGAGCAUUGUGAGAAACCAUCAAAACAAUAUAUAGUGUUUUUAUAUUGAAAUACAAGUACCAAAUUGAAAACAACAAUGAUUCUCAACUGCAGUUGCAUUUCCAACAAAACAUCUCAGGGUGUGAUUUACAAUUAGCAACAUCUUGAAAAUGAGCCUUCCUUUUACAUUUAAAACUGCAACCACUCAAUCCAUCAAGUCUUAAAAUCUUGUUCUUGAUUAAUUGCAUUCUCUUAUGCCAUUUCUCUCAAGAAGGCUUCAUAAAAUCAAGGCCACAUUAUUCAAAGCAUUCUUCAAAUGAGAUGCAUCCCCAGCUAGCCAAUUCAAUCACUACAGAGCUCGCAAACAGUAGGUGGUUUGUGUUUUUGCAAAUUUGGGAUUCAUUACAGAGGCAUUAGGAUAUAAUUUACUAUGACUUGGGCAUGCUUUUCUACCUUCGCAUCAGGAUUCAGCUGCCUCACUCUGUGGACUAGCUGAGGGGAUCUGGGGGUGUUGUGAACUAAGCACAUCACACUAGGGAGAAAGAAGCUGUUCCACAGCAAAUCACUCAAAUUGAUUAAUAAGCUGCAUUGAUUGGCUCCUGAGCAGAGAUGUCCAGUUGCUCUCCAGUGAGAAGAUUAGGGUUUCUCAAAACAAAGUACAGUGUGGAGAGAAGCCUCUACAGGCCUCAGUCAGUGUUGCUGGUAGAAACUGAUUUUCCUACAAAGAGAAACAGCAUUUCAAAUACUGAAGUACCAUCUGCAUGUCAUCAAUGCAAAAACUGGAAACAGGAGCUAUGAGCUGAACCAUAUCUGAACAUUAUAUUGAACAGGUGACUUGUAUUAUUCUUUAAGAUAUAUAAAUAGAUGCUGGCAUUAGGAAUGCAACAAUUUGAAAGGAAAAUCCAAUUUUAAUAAUAAAAUGUUGACCUAGGUAAGCAUGGUAAGCAUCAGAACUGAAGCCUUUUUAUGAAAAUUGACAGAAUUCUGCAGCACAUAAGAGCAUCUGUGCUUAAAAAUAUUACAGAAUAUAAAUGGGUUUUUAGAAUGCUACUUUCUUUGUAGAAAACAGAAAACAGCUUUAGAAUAUAGCUAGGUAGGACUUUUUCCUCCUGGAAAUGUUCAUAAUGUUGCUUCAACUGCCCUAAGUGAAUUACUGAGAUAUGCUGUGGGCACAAAUAUCACUUUCAAAUGAAAAGCUCAAAUGCUUGAUAUUUGGAGACAGAAAGGACACAUUUAGUGCCUAUUAAACCAAGAUAAAUGACUGGUUCAAAAAACAUUCAUUGUCAUUCUCCAUUUUCCUUGCAGGUCUUAUCCGAAUUCAAGGAGGACUGGAAAUUCAAGGUGAAGCUUAAAAGUUGUCCUUUCUGUGUGAAGAAAUGGUUUGAGGUUUGAUGUCUAAUGGUACUGAAUAUUUUAGAGAAUUAUUUUGGAUGCAGGACUGUUCUCAGCACUCUUGAUCUCUUGUAUGUGAUCAAUCCAAAUAUAUUCCUUGAAGUUCUCUAUGUUUCCUCGUAUCAGCUCGGCCUACAAGACUUUUGGUCUACAAGUUGAACACAGCCUAGUUACCAUCCAUAAUAUUCAUGGGACUCAAUAAACCUACUAGGUUUUACUUCCUAUCUGGGACUGCAAAAAAUAGGAGGGUUGCCAAAUAUCUAGCAGGCCAUGAUAGAUUAAGCUUCAGGGUUAUGCAGUUCUAUCUUUUUCAGUUUUCAGAUUAUGCCACCUCAGGGCCAGAGACACUGUGUAAACAUCAUAGGCCCCAAUUCUAGGGGGCAGAGUCCAUUUGCCCUCCCAAUACUUUCUUCUGGGGGCACAGCCCCCUCAAUAUUUUUUAUCCCCCCACCUGCCUGCCUGCCUCCCUUGCUUCCUACAAACAUGCAGACAGGUGAGCCAGUGGAUGUGGUGCUCUCCCGUGGCAGGGAAAUGCAACCUCCUCAGGGGACUUCACCCCUGAAACUACUGCAAUGGUGGCCCAAGGGCUGAAGAGUGUGCCUGUCCAGCUGACCAAGGGAAGGAGGGAAGAAGGCAGAAUGAGUGCCCCAACCAUGCUGUUGAUGCUCGCUGUGCCUGUCUGGGUGCACGACAGGCUAACCACCCCACCCCAACCCCCGACUGGAAAGGAGAAUGGUACUGGCUCCCCUCAAUGUUUUGCUCAAGUUGGUGCCACUGGUAAACAUACUUUUCCAGACUCUGCUUAUUGUUAAGUGUGUGCUGGUGGGACGUCCCAGGAGCAAAAAAUUGAAGUUCAAGCAAGAGGAACAUAAGAUAUGAAACUGCCAGACCCAUGGUCCAAUGAGGUCAGUAUUGUCUACAUUGUUUGACAGUGAAUCUAGGUUUCAUAUAAGAGUCUUUUGCAUCCCUGCCUAGAUAUGCCAGGGGUUGAACUUGGCACCUUCUGCAUGUUCUACCACUGUUAAGCCUUUCCCAGCUUUUCUGAUGUAUUAUCAGAGUUCAAGGACACAUUCCAGAAAUAGUCAAGGAGGAUGCCAAGCAGGUGAGGGGUGUUGCAUGGGCAAAGGGUGCAUAGCUGAGGAAUGAGGUGUGGUAUGGGUAAUAAUAAUGAUGCUAUAUUUGUUGCCUGCCCUUAACUAGGUGGUUCCAGAGUGGGUCAUCCUCAGCAUACAAUGAGAGAUGAGGAUUAAACAGUGGCUUGGAGGAUUGCAUUUGGUUCCUGAGAUCCCCUACCCCUGCACUAGUCCAAGUAGCAGACGUUAAUAAUAAUAAUAAUAAUAAUAAUAAUAAUAAUAAUAAUAAUAAAUUCAUUUCUUAUACCCUAACCAAUCUGGGUGACUUCCAACAAGAUACAGAGGGUCUGGGUGGAGAGACACAUCAGACAUUAAAAGUUUCCUGAAACAGGCCUGCUUUUAGAUGUUGUUUAAUUCUUUGACAUAUGACAGAAGGUCAUUCCACAGAGUGGGUGCAACUACCAAGAAGGCCCUCUGUCUGGUUCUCUGUAGCUUCACUUCUUACAAUGAGGGAACCACUAGAGGGCCCUUGGAACUGGACCUCAGUAUCCAGGCUGAACAGUGGGGGAAGAGACACACUUUCAGAUAUACAGGUCCGAAGCCAUGUAGAGCUAUAAAGGUCUACAGCAAAGCUUUGAAUUGUGCUUGGAAAUGUACUGGGAACCAAUGUAGUUCUUUUAGGACUCAUGGUAUAUAUUCCCAGCAGCUGCUCCCAGUCACCAGUCUGACAGCUGCAUUCUGGAUUAAUUGUAGUUUCUGAGUCACUUUCAAAUAUAUCCCCAUGUAGAAUGCAUUUAUCUGGUCCAAUCAGGAGAUAACCAGCGUAUGUACUACCCUGGCAAGAAAGUGGGCAGGAAGGUAGAGUCUCAGCCAACAAACAAGAAUGGUCCAUUGUCUGAAACAAGCAGUUUCUCUUCUUGAGAAGCUUGUCUUCUGAUUCAAGGACCUCCCUAGAUUUCCCAGAAGCAGGAACAGCAGAGGGUCAAGAUGCUGUUUUUCUGAUAUUUAUUUGCCUCAGUAUCACAGCUUUGAACAUUUGAGAGGAAGGAAAAUGUUGUGUUCCGUAUGGGCCAUUCCUAAUGGCUGACCUUCAGUCUUGCCUUUAGGAUAAGGGUUUGCUUCCACAUCUCCUAACAUGAUUAUCACUUUGUACUGCUUUACAAUGACAUCUAGAACAGCCUCUAGCAUUGCUUUCUAGUACUCGGUUAACUUUUAUUCACCAACAUUUAAUCUUUUGGAAAGAAAGAAGGAAAAAAAUAUUGCCUCUUUUCUCAAAAGAUGUAUGCACAUCUAAAUUACAAAGUAAAACUUUUACUCUUCACUUUUUCCUUGUCUCAUUUUGUUUGAAAAACUUAUCCAGAGGGAUAAUACACAGGGCUCUUUCUGCAUUUUAGCCAUUGCCUGAUGAUUCUGUGAGUUCCAACUGAAAAGCAAUGGCACAAAAUGCAAUCCACAUCUGACUGCAUUUUUUUGCAUCAGCCUCGCUGCAAAUAGGAGAUUCUGUGUGCAAUUGAACAUGUACAGCACACAGAGGAAGCAAAGGCAGAUUUAAGGGGAGGGGGGGUGCUUGGUUCAGUCAUUAUGUGGAAAAAGUUACAAGUGAGGUGCCACAAGUUUCUGUCCUGAGCCUGUUUUUAUGUUUAUAAAUGACUUGGAUGAAGGACUUGAGUGUUUGCUAUCAAAUUUUCAGAUGACACCAAACUGGGAGGGGUAGCUAAUGCGGCAGAAGACACAAUUGGGAUUCAAUCUGACCUUAACAGAAUGGAGAAUUGGGCCCAAACUAACAAAAUGAAUUUCAAUAGGGACAAAUGUAAGGUUCUACACUUAGGCAGGAUGAACCAGCUGCACAAAUAUAACAUGGGGGGACAUCUGGCUUACUAGCAGUACAUGUGAAAAGGAGCUAGGGAUCUACUGAUUUCAGUGGGACUACUCAAAAUAUGACUUUGUUGGAUGUAGCCUAGUAUUCUUGUCAUUGGUAUUUUCUUUAAAACCAUUGAUUCAUUUCAAUUAAACUCCUAUCAAGGUGGUUGGCAAUCAAGUGGGUACCCAUAAACAGAUCGGUUUCCAUUUGUUAGAAACUAUUUGUAGAUCACUGUCUAGCCUGAGAGCAAAAGACAAAUGAAUAAUGAAUUUGAAAAAUAUGCAUGCAAGCAGGGACAAGCUAGUGUAUCUGGUAUGCUGAGAGUUUUGUUCUCUGUAUUCAGAAAACCGGAUAGAAUUUUGCAGUUGAAAUGGAAGAGGUGUGGUUCAUGAAAUACAAGCCAGGAAGAUUUCUAUAUGAAAUACAAGUGGAUUAAAAAAAAAAAAAAUCUGCAAUACCUUCAAGAGCAGUAAUGACAACUGAUACCCUAGAAAAGAAGGAAGUUACAGGAACCAGAGUCAACAAUAGAAUUACAUAUUUUUUUAAGGGGAAAAAAAGAACCAAUUACAUAAAAACCUUCCACAUAGUGAGCAUGUAAUUAGAACUGAUGUCAGGCUUCCACAAAAGAUUGUCAGAGAGAUUUAAUGAUCUUUCUGAAUGUAAGAAUAAUGAUUACAAGAAAGAAAGAACAAGGAACACGAAUUAACAUGUUCCAUUGGAUUUUUUUUUAGAAAAGACAAAAGAAUCAAACCUCUACCUCAGUUAUGCCAUAAGUUGGUGAUCACUGGUUAAAAAUAGAAAUAAAAAUGCUUAUAACAUCCUGAUUUGCAUUCCCUUCUGUCUGCUGAAAGAAUGUGAAAAAAUAAUAAUAGAGCAACUGUUUUUAUAUAAAGUAUGCAGCAAGGGCAUGAUAUAACUCCCGGUGGAAAGACAACUAUUGAUUUCAGCAGGUUUGGAAUGAGGCAAGUGUUAAUCAUCUUAUAUAACUGUGUCCACCCAGAGGAGAGACUUACUAUUCUUCCUACAACAUUUGAAAUAUUUCAGAAGACACUCCUCUUAUGUAAUUCAGGUUGUCAGUAUAAAAGUAUCUAGCAACUUUGUAAAAAGGCUGAACUUAGAGACAAUGAUGUGGCUUGUAACUACACACACACACACACACACACACACACACACAAACAAACAGGUGUUUCUGUGGUGAUGUGAUGUGAUGUGAGAGUGGAAAGUUUAAUUAGAGACAGGAUCAUUCCAUUCAAACAUGUGAAAAGAAAUUAUCCUGGUUAUGAAAUGAAAUGAUUGACAUUUUCUGAAGUGAAUUUUUAUUUUCCCCCAUAGCAAUGUAACCUUGAUCCCACGUUAAGUGUUUCCUUCAUUUCCUGCCAUUGACAUGGAAAGUUCUUUGGAAACAACUAUGCAUGCUUUGUGGAAUAGAAACUUUCAGAAAAUAAAAUAAUUUCUCCAUCUCCUAAUGGCUUGACAAGGUUGGAUCAGCUAAAGGAGUUAUAGAGAAGGUUUAAUUAUGUAGCUGUGAUAACAGUCCAGUUAAAACUGACUAGCAAAAUUAACUGAUCAGCCAGCUUUGUUCAGAUUGCCUUACAUUUUUUAAAAAUAAUGAGACUAAUCCAUAUAGAAGAUCCACGUAUGGUUACCUCUACCACAAUGUAGUCUUAUGAAGCUUAGCCAUGCAGUUUUGAUGACUGAUCAUCACAGACCUACGAUGUGUAAUCACAGAUUCAUCACAUACACGCUUCACUCCCAAAUACAGUCCAUACUACAUAAAAUUAUAUAUACCCUGUAACCUUUCUGAAUUUUCUUUGGCCCUAUUUAUACAUUAUCCCAACCAUCAGGUUACUGACCUGCACAGCUAAGCACUUGUGUUAAAAAAUGCCCAUAUAACCAGAGGCACCAGGUUGCCCCCAAGCUUGGGGGGUGCCUGGCAUGAAUCACAUGAAUGUGAUGUUGCACACAGUGGAGGAGUCUGAGCUGCUCUGGAGGAGCUGGCCACUGGACUUGCGAUGCACGACAUGUGCAGGGCUGCCUCAAGAAUGAGCCUCAUGGUUACAAUGAGCCUCAGUUUCAUACAAGCCACUUCACACAAGCAACCAGUUAAUGUUUGCUAUUUGAACAGGCCAGAUACCAUCCCACUGGGAUAACAAGUACACAUGGCCUUUAACAUGUAGGAUUACAGAAAUUCACAUUCCAUGACCAUAGAUUCCUUCUACUACUGCACUGAAAAAUUCUUCUGUAUCUUUCUAGGCUAUUCUCCAUCAGUUAAGAAAAGAAAAGAAACUUUAAAAAGAAGGGGAGAAAUUGUGGUGAAACAUCCAAAGGAGUGGAUUUUUUAUCGCUCAAGUUGACUGAGCAGUUUUGUGAGUGUACUUUCAUUCUACAAAUCAUCUCUCCAGUGGUCUGCUUUCCACAGCCGUCCCAGGUAUCUGCAUUUCCUAAAAAUCCCAUUACAUCCUCAGCUGGGCUUUCCUGUAAUCAGAGUUCUCCCAUCCAACUGACCGCUGUUCAUUGCUUGCUUUUGUUUUGUUUUAAGAAAAGUCUUUUUAGGGUUUUUUAAAGGGAAGUAAGAACUUCACUUAAAGACAAAACCAGUAAGUACAAGGAUAUCAGGUGCUAAGUAGUCAGCCCCAAUAACCUCCCACAUUUCAAUUAAAGCCUGUGGGGAAGCAUCAUGAGGUAAUUUCUCUCAUGGGGCUUUUUCCAAUCAGGAAAUGAGGGCAGCCAGGGAGGCUGCAGAGUGCUGGAUAAAUGUUUAAUGGAAAGAAAAACCUACACACUGCCCUUGGCUAUCUCAGGAUUAUAAAGUUAAACUCAAUGCUAAAAACAUUCUAAAUGUGCCCUGUGAAUGGAACAUAGACAAAGAGAAGUCUCUCUCAUGGGAGAAUAAAGCUUUUUUAUAAAUUGAAAGACAGGUUUCAGCCCAACCCCUUCAAUGAAGUCCUGUAAAAAAUGUUCAUGUGCUUUAAAGUAUUUUAAACUUCUGGUUCUCUUUUCAACAGGCCUUGUUUGCUUGCAUUCUAGUAUGAUGGGCUAUUUAUCCUUUUAAAUCACCCCAAAUAUAUGCUGCAUUGCAUAUUUAGAAGCAAUCAUUGGUUUAAAGACAAAUGUCUGGCUAUGGAGAACAAGCCUGUGCUAGUUACCAGAUAUUAACUAACUGGAACUGCCUGGAAAAUAGACCCUUUAGAAGCUAUGAUUUUAUGUACCCUGCAGGAAAUUGCUUUACAGAAGCUCGUAUUUUUAGAAAUCCCUCCAGAUUAUUUUCUUUAAUGGCAGCCACUACAUUCACAUUUAUUAGCACAUUCUAAAUCAAAUCUAGAGCCGAAGUUUAUUUGUGAGACUUUUUCCUGCUGUUUGCAAUUACCUCUCUGAGCUAAAGUCAAUGUUAUAUCAGCAAGCAUCUGUAGAUUUUAAAAUAAAUGCCAUCAAUUGUUUCUUGCACUUCUGUCGUUUUCUUUUUUUUUGUAAUCCAUCCAACCAAUCAAGCACCCAAAAGUGGAGAGCUGUUUAAAUAUGCACUGAAGAUGCCAUUGCAUACUCAGCCAUAAAUGCUUAAAGAGAAAAUGAUGCUAACCAGCGAAACACAGGAAUAGCUGUACAGAAUGUGAAUACCAAUAAUGACUAGACAACUGAAAUGUGAUGAGAUAAUUCUUCCUAUAUUGCUCUCUUCUCUGUAUGCUAGUACAACAUGACCCUAAUUGUUUGGACUAGAAGAAAUAGGCGAGUUUAAAAUCCAUGUUCUACCUUCAUUAUCACAGGCAGUAAGCCUAUGAAUUACCAGUUACAGUGGUACCUGGGUUAUGAUACCUUUGGGUAACAUAAUUUCGAGUUACAAAUGCGGCAAGAGUUCGCCACACAUGCAUGCACAGAAGUGCUCUAUCACACCAUGCAUGAGCGCAGAAGCUUUUCCGGGUAAGUGUGGACCCCUGGGAUGAAUUACCUUCGGAUCUAGAGGGUCCAGUUUACUGGGAAUCACAAGUGUGGGGGGUGCUGUUAUACUCAGUUCUUGUUUGCAGGUUUCUCAUGGGCCCUGUGAGAACAGGAUGCUAGAUGACGAUGGUGAUGAUUAUAGAUUUAUAUAAAGCCUUACAUCACAAGAUCUCAGAGUACUUCACAAGAUAAAAAUAAAAGGUAAAAGAACAAAUAAAUAGUUAAAACAAAAACAACAAAACAAUAACCCCCCCUUCCCACAAACACAUUUCUUAGGCUGUGGGAUAUUAAUCAGGCCAAAGAAGAACGUUUUCACUUGACACCUAAAGAUAUAUAACGAAGGUACCAGGAGAACAUCCCUGGUGAGAGCAUUCCGUAAAUGGGCUGCCACUGCAGAAAGACGCUGUUCUUGUGUUGCCACCCUCCAGACCUCAAGAGGAGGAGGCACACAAAGAACAACCUCAGAUGAUGAACACAGAGUCCAGGUCAGUUUAUAUGGGGAGAAGCAGUCCUUGAGGACUAGAUGCAGCAUGUCUCUUAUGUUCUUAUGAAAUAAAAUCACCCCAUGUCCUCUCCCAACCCCCAACCCCGCAAAUGAAACUAUCCCUUUCCCUUUUUUCCACUUCUAGCACAUCUUGGAAUUGGCCUUGGAUUGGCUUUCUACCUUCCCCUUUGCCUCAUUUCUCAAUCUCAGUUUGGCUUUCUUGCUUGGGAAGAUUCAUCUAGAUACUAUUAUUAAUUUAUGUAUUGUUGUUGUUAUUAUUAUUAUUAUUAUUAUUAUUAUUAUUAUUAAUUUAUACCCCACCCAUCUGGCUGGGUUUCCCCAGCCACUCUGGGCAACUCACAACAGAAUGUUAAAAAUGUGAUAAAAUACCAUACCUUAAAAACUUCACUAAACAGGGCUGCCUUCAGAUGUCUUCUAAAAGUCAGAUAGUUGUUUAUUUCCUUGACAUCUGAUGGGAAGGUGUUCCACAGGGCAGGCACCACUAUCAAGAAGGCUCUUUGCCUGGAAUAACCAGAACCAAUAUUCUCUGGAUGGUUUACAGAAACCUCCCCCACCCUUCAAUAAAAAUAAAAAAGUUCUUUUUCCAAACUGUAAGCAUCAGAGAACAAAAUCAAGCAAUACAAGACUCACAAGCAGACCUUAACACUUUUGAAAGCCAUAAAGAACCUCUAAAAUGCCCUGUAAUCUCUCCCCUCCCCCCAUAAAAUAAAAAAUAAACUUUUUCUGACACUGAAAAUAGUACAAAGUGGGUUCCAUAUGAGCCUCUCUUGAAAGGUCAUCCUACAGCUUGGCUGCUACUGUGGCUGCUGUAAUUCACUUGGUAUAAAUCAGGCAUGUCCAACAGGUCUAUUGUAAUCUACUGGUCGAUUGCGGGAUGUCCCUGGUUGAUCCUGGUUGAUCUUUUGAUCAACAACUCUGGCUCCCUAAAAAAAGCUCAAAAACUCUGACAAUGGGUAGAUCACUGCCAUUCUUUUAUACUGUGAGUAGAUUGCAGUCUCUUGGGAGUUUGACUUCCCUGGUAUAAAUAAUCUGGCCAAUAGCCAUUUAGAGCUUUACAUCAGGAGUGGCUAAUCUUUGACCCUUCAGAAGUCCCUGGUCCUCAAUUCCCAUCAGCCCCAGUCAGCAUGGUCAAUGGGCAGAGAAUAUGGAAGUUGUAAUUCAGUGACCUCUGGAGGACCACAGGUUAACUACCCCUGCUUUACAGCCUAAAAUCAACUAUCAGAUAUGGACUAAUUUGGAGGUGCUGCUUUUCAGAUGGUGAUACAACAAUAAUUACUGCCUGAAAGUAGAAAGUUAAUUAAUUAAUCCAAGUGUUGCAAAACAGCUGCAAAGGUGCAUGAAUUUAGUAGAACUAGGAUAAAGCAGUACCACAUGAGCGGAGGACAGAGAAUGUCCAAUUAGUCUGUUGCUGUCUGGUUCCUGUUGGGUCCAGUCUCUUUGAUCAUUUCUUCUCUUCUUUGUUCUGGAAUAAGGCCCUAGGCAAGGCUUGCUUUGAUAAGUUAGAUGAACAGAGAACAUCUCUUUUUGUUGUUGAUUUCAAAAGGCAUCAGAGACUCUGGUCUAAGAUGGGCAUCAACAAGAGUGUACACUUUGCAGAACAGAUUAUCUCCAGCCAUGACUUCUCCCUGUUUUAAAGUGUAUAAGACCUCUUAUUAUUAACCUCUCUGGUCACAAUUUUUGUACAAUUCAUCUUUCCAGGGUUUAAUCUUGACAAUCCCUUUGCUUCCCUGGAAGUAUUGAUGAGCAUUGACCUUCAUAAUCAAAUCUUCAGUUCGCAUCUCUUUCAGGCCUGGGGAAAGCAGGAAAGCAAGCAAAGUCCAUCCCAUCACAUUUUGCAAAAUAACGGGUUUGCAUACAUUUCCCAACAUUAUCUAUUUAUGGGGACAGCUUCUCUAUAAUGUAAGAAAAGCUUCAUUAGCUUACAUUGAAGUCACCAAGAUAUGCAGUUGACUUGACAGAGAGAGCAGCAGGACAUUUAUGGGGCAUUGCAAAAAUAAAAUGCUUAUCUUUUAUUUUAGAUGGAUCAAAUCAGACAUGACUAGCAAGUAUUGUCUGAAUGUGAUCCCUGUUUCUUUGGUGUUUUUUUUUUUAAAUGGCUACAUUAAAGAUGCACACUCAUUCACUGUCACAGUCACACUGUAAGCACUAACAAACAGAAAUGAAUUCUUCAAGUGGAGAGUCAUUUGUUUUGUCUUUUGUGCUAGUCAGUUAUAUAUUAAAAUAAAGCAUAGGGAUUGAUGACUCAUACACACAAUGAUUUAUGUCACAGUUCUUUAUCUUCUGGUGGCUUUGUGUAUGUGUGUUGUUUGCUUUUUGGCAGUGCUGUGAGUACUUUGAAGCUAUCACUGCAGAAUGAAAUGGCUGAUUUCUGAUUCCAUCUGAGCUGUACUCAGGAGGUUCACUGGUGUGCAAGAAUGGGCUGCAACCAAGAGAAUGAGAGCUUUAUCUUUAAAUAUGCCAGUGAUGUGGCAGACAAAGUAAUCACUGCUACCCCCACCAAUCCUUCUCUGGUGCUUUUGUCUGCCUUGGUCCUCUGCUUUCAACAGCUUUUCUCACCCUAUCGGAGGUGGAGAAGUUGGUGAAAAACAACAGAGUUAGGAAUGGGCAGGAACAUCUGCUACUACCUUGUCUCCAGUUUGAUUGGUGAGGUUAAAGCUUUUUCUCCAGAUUAUCGCCUGGAAACCCUCCCUAAAUGAAAGUAAAGAUAGGACAGCUGCACAGAAAACACUGAAAUAUAGGGAAGAAACUUAUGGAUUUUUCAUAAAAAGUGAUUCAGCAAAAUGGUGGAAAUUUCAAAGAAACUGCCAGGGUGGAAAUAGCACUCUCUGAUUUAGUUGAUGGUAGGGAUGGCCACAUCUAUAAAUUUCAGUUUCUCUUAGUUUCUCUCCCCCUCCCCUCCCCAAUCUUAAAUUCAGGUCUCUAGUGUUCCAUGCAUUUUAAAAAAUGUUUUCAUGCAAAUUCAUCAGCAGAUUCUUCCUAAGAUACACCUGUUCACAUGAAAUUUCCCCUCAUAUUUGUAAGAUGUUUAUAUUGUUUUAUUGCUUGCUGUCUCGGGCUCCUUUGGGAGGAAAGGAAGGAUAUAAAUUAAACUGUUAUUAGCAGUGUUUCCCAAACUUGGGACUCCAGCUCUUUUUGGGCUACAACUCCCAUCAUCCCUAGCCUGCAGGACCAGUGGUUAGGAAUGAUGGGAACUGUAAUCCAAAAACGAGCUGGAGACCCAAAUUUGGGAAAGAUUGACCUAAAGGAUAUCGCCUGCUCUGCUGUUAUUUCUCUCCCCAUCUCUGUAUCCCUGAAUGACUUUAGUGUGCCCUUGCACAACUCUUGUUCAUUUUGAUACGGAAGGGGGGGGCAUGUCUUCUUCACCUCCUUCUUCGCUACAAUAUAUCCAUUUAUUUCCAAUUCUCAAUGUCAAAAGGGACUAAAAUCUAUAAAAUUCAUAGAAAAUCAACGUGCCAAUUUGCUCAAUUUCUCUAGGACUCCAUGACACCUUCCCUGUCCUCCAUAAUCCCUCAAGCAAGGUGUCAAGACCCUAAUCCUGUCAAAUCACUCUGCCAAGCCUUUCCUCCGGGCAAUGCCAGGUGGCCGACCAUGCAUACAUGGACCAUUGUCUUCUCAUCAGGUACUCAGGAUGUGCUUAUCUGCGCAUAUCUCCAGCUCUGCAUAAUCCCCCCUCCCUCCUCCGUAUGUUAAUCCUGUGUAACCCAACCUCUUCUUAAUGUAUUCAUGAUGUAAUCUGUGUAACCCAACCUCUUUUUAAUGUAUUCAUGAUGUAACUAGUGCUGGGAAGUUUUUGCCUCUGCACAUGAGUCUGAGAAUGUUCUGAACAGUUCCCAUUGAGUUCAUGAAACAGUGUACCCUGACCUGUUCUUAAUGCAUUGCUGACCACAUCUACGGAACGUGAUUGUUGUAUUCUUUCAUGUUAUGUUCUUUCAAUAUCAAUCUUUAGUUAUAAUUUAAUUAGGAGGCUUCAUGCCUGCCUAGUUCCAGCUCCGUUUCUCAGCCUUUAAUCUAUCAGUGAUUAAUGUAA